AAGAAAAAAAAGUUAACUUGUAAGUGACUGUAAAUUCGCACAAUAUAGGAGGGGUUAUUGGUUCAUUGAUUUAUAAGGAAUUAGAAAUCCAAACAAAAAUCAUUUGUUAUUCAAUCAUUGAUUUUAAAAUCCUAAUUAAAAUCAUGUGUUAUUAGUUCCAUGAUUUAUAAAUACUAGUUAAAAUCCUAUGUUAUUCGUUUUGUCAUUUGUUUUUGGAUUUGAGAAUCCAAAUUAUGUUUUAAAUGGAUUUGUAUGGAAUUGAAAGAGAAAAAUAGAAGGAUUCAAAUCCAUGGGUAAACACAUGUUAUUUCAAAAUCUAUAUAUCUUGAUUUCAUAAUUAAUAGAAAUUUCCAAAUCCUAUAUGGAUUUACAAAUUAAUAAACCAAUAACACCCCCAUAGACUUUCAAACAAAGUUCCUUAAACGUCUCUUUCCUUCCUUAACGGAACAAGUUGUAAUUGAGAUCGAGUCAACGGUCAAGUUCGAAUUCUCUACGGCUUCAUAAUUGUUCACGUCGUACACGGUUACAUGGAUAGGCUUCAGACAACUAAGAUGUCUUCCCCACCAAAAGCAAGCUGGAUUUCAAUAAUUCUCCAUUUUAAAAAUUAAAUUUCACUACAGGAAUUAAGGUUAUUAAUAGCAUAACAUUAUAGUGUUUUUAAAUUUAAUGUUAUAAUUGACUAUAGAGAAACUAUAGAUAGCGUUUCCCAAAAGCUAAACGCUAUGGUAGAUUGAGCGCGAAAAAUGUGUUGAGAAUGGCGCUUAGUUUUGGUUCUAUUAUAGCAUAGGUCAAAUUAAAACGCUAUUGUAGGUCUAACCGGGAAACAAAAUUUUCAUUGGCUCCAAAUUAGGAAGAAGAAGACAAAAAAAAAAAAAAAAAAAUUUCUCUCUUUCCUCCUAUCGUCUCUUUUCUCUCGUCUCUCUUCAUCUCUGCAAGUCGAAAUCUAAAACACCAUAGAUCCCAAUUAGUUUGAUUCUUCCACUAUCGAUCCCUCUCAGUCUAAUCUCUCUCAUAUCUAAACCCUAGGUCUCGAUAGCCAGUUUUAUUGUCUGUCUACAACUUUCUUAAUCUUCACCUGCAUCAAUCCAAAUCAAAUUGAUACAUAAGGUAAAAUAUAUGUAUGGGUGUUCUUUUUUCUAAACGAUUUAGUAUUUAUUUCAUGUUGGGUUUGAAGUAAUUAGGUUUUGGAUUAAUGUUUGGAAUCGUUUUCUUCUUAUGUGAGUUUGGUGAUCGACUUUCAAUUUGUGUUUUUGCCUAAUUUUGUCUGCGUUUAGAUUCAAUUUCAGUUGUCUGCGAAAGCAGCGAAGUGCAUCUACGAUCGAUUCAUCUCUCUGUUCAACGGUGGCGAAUCAGGUGUUCUUCCUGAAUCCGUGAUCUCAAUCUCUGCCGUUGAUCUCCGUAAGAUCGGUGUCUCCGGGAGAAAAGCAAGCUACCUCCACGAUCUAGCUGAUAAAUACAACAACGGUGUGCUCUCGGAUGAAUUGAUCAUGAAAAUGAGUGAUGAAGAGUUGAUUGAUAGAUUAACAUUGGUUAAAGGAAUUGGAGUGUGGACUGUUCAUAUGUUCAUGAUCUUCUCGUUGCAUAGACCUGAUGUUUUGCCAGUGGGAGAUAUUGGUGUGAGGAGGUUCUGAAAUUGUCAACAUUGCUCAGGUCAGAGCAUGUGCUUUGUCUAGUCAAAUCACGAACAAGAUCUGUAAAAUUUGGUUUAAAGCUAAUUGAUAUAUGUUUGCUCUUUUGUUGCUUCCAUCUUACAGAAGUUGUAAGAAGACUUGAAGUCUAAUAAGGAUGCUUAUCCCUUUGAUGAGGUAAAAUCUCAUUCUUCAUUGAGAUAGUCAUAUUCGUUUUUGUGUAUUCUUUAAAAAUCAUGAUCGACACUUCUAAUUUGAUAGAGAGGAGAGUUUAGAGUUGAUGUUACAUGUUCUCAAAAUCUUUAUAUUUCCCAACAAGAAAGAAACUUAGAAAUCUCAAUCGCUUUUGGCAGAUUAUCUAUUGCAAUAUUGGUAAUCCUCACCCUCUUGGUCAGCUACCUAUAAAGUUCUUCCGAGAGGUAAGCGAACAUUUUUGGUGCUUCUUUGUUAUGUCGUCAUUUCAGCCCCAGAGAUAUAACUUCUUCAUUUUUUGGUCAAGAUAUAACUUCUAUCAUCUAUAUAUCUCAGGUUCUUGCGUUGUGUGAUCACACAAGCCUCUUGGACGAGUCUGAAACACAUGGUUUGUUCAGGUAUUGACGCCAUUCUGAGGUUUUCCUUCAGCUAUAUACUUUAGCUUUAGGACAUGUAAUGGUUUAAGAUUGCUUCACAUUUGAUUUCUACUCCGCUAUCAGUACCGACGCAAUUGACCGAGCCUGGAAGAUUUUGGAUCAAAUUCCCGGAAGAGCAAGUGGUGCUUACAGUCACAGCCAGGUUUGUCAUCAGAGUCUAGUUAAAAGUCAUAAACCCUUCUUUGUAUAUGACCAUUAUGUUGCUGAAUGAUUCCUUUUUCUUCUGCCUCAGGGUAUCAAGGGAUUACGUGAUACAAUUGCAGCCGCAAUUGAAGCUCGUGAUGGUGAUACAAUUGCAGCUGCAACUGAAGCUCGUGAUGGUUUCCCCGCUGAUCCAAACGAUCUUUUCUUGACCGAUGGUGCAAGUCCAGCGGUAACAGUCAUAACAAAAACAUUUUCUCAUAGUAUUAGAACAAGUCCUUAAAAAGGGUACAUGCUAAAUUAAUUUUUUUUCUCCCUUCAUUCUAUAGGUUCACAUGAUGAUGCAACUUCUCAUAAGCUCAGAGAAAGAUGGAAUUCUCUGCCUGAUUCCUCAGAAUCCAUUGUAUUCUGCUUCAAUUACCCUCCAUGGUGGAUCUCUGGUAUGUUCAUCUAAUCAAAAUAUGGAAUGAUGUUGGUACACUUUUUUUUGUCAUUUUUCUUUAUCUUGAUCAUUGUUUUUCUGUUUAGGUUCCGUACUAUCUUGAUGAAGCAACAGGAUGGGGACUGGAAAUAUCUAACGUUAAGAAGCAACUGGAGGAAGCUAGGUCGAAGGGCAUCACUGUAAGAGCCUUGGUUGUCAUAAACCCCGGUAACCCAACAGGGCAGGUAAUAUCAGAUCUUCAAGACUUAGACUUGACGGUUUUGUGUUGACAGGUUACUAUGGAGAAUGUGGAAAAAGAGGAGGUUACAUGGAGGUUACCGGAUUCACUCCUGAUGUCAGAGAACAAAUAUACAAAAUGGCUUCUAUUAAUCUUUGUUCUAACAUCUCUGGUCAAAUUCUUGCUAGCCUUAUCAUGAGCCCACCCAAGGUAACACAAUACAGUUCUCUUCUAACAGGUUUUCGAUUAUGUUAUUGCAACAGAUAAAUGACUAAUCAGUCUCUUAUAUAUUUGAUCAGCCUGGUGAUGACUCAUAUGACUCAUACAUGGCCGAAAGAGAUGGGAUUCUCUCGUCAAUGGCUAGACGUGCAAAGGUUAGCUAAAGUGUGGAGGCCAAAUUCAGAAGUGCGAUUCAUCGCGAUGCACAAGGCACAACUGUUGCUUGGCCUAAUGACAAGAUAGUUUAUCUCUGAAACUUCUUAAGUACUAAGUUUUUUUCCUUUAUGUCAAACAAUUUGUUGUUUUAAGUGUCGAACACUUUGUGUUUUCUUUUAUAUACAUGCACUUGACUUUGUUUUCUCAUGUUACUAAUUAUAUGUUAUCUCUGGCAAAAAUAUAUUAAACACAAAAACACAUACUUAAAACAUUUUAAUUGGAAAAAAUUGAAUUAAUUAUUUUAAGGCAUGUACUUUAGGUUUCAAGUUAAAUGAUUUUAAAUAUUUUAAAGAUUUUUAAAAUGAUUUUCGAAUUUUGUAAAAAAAAGUUAAAAAAUAAAAGUAAAUAUAAACAAAUAUAACCAAAUAGCUCAAGACAUAAAUAUUUAAUUAUAAUAUUAAUAAUUAUAUAAAUAAUAACAAAGUUAUAAAUUUAAAGAGUUUAGGGUAUAGGGUUUAGGGUUUAUGGUAUGAAAUGUAUGGUUUAGGUUUUUCGAUUAUAUUUGUUUCAAAUAGUAAUAAUAUUAAUUAUAACAAAUAAUAACAUCAAUAAUAUUCAUAAUUAAAAAUAGUUUAGGGUAUAGGAUUUAGGGUUUGAAAAAACUAUAAAAUCUACCACUUAUUCCCAAUUCCUUUCAAAAUCUACCACAUUUCUUUCCUUCUUUCAACUCAUACCACAUUUUGAUGUAGAGUUACCAUUUUGCCCUCCCUGUUUAUCUUUCCAAUUUAUCUCUCCUUCCUAUUUAUUUCCCUUCCCUAUUUAUCUUUCCCUCACUCUCGAAACACGUGCACUUUAACCCAGAAACAUUAUAUCUCUUGAGACUAAACAAUUAACUUUCGUUUUUGUCUCCAUAUCUUGUCUCCGAUUGAAAAUUAUCUGUUGCGUCUAGAUCUUGUCCCCGAUUUCAUCAUCUUUCUAUUAUCAUGAAUCUCAUAUCUUGUCCACCAAUAGUUCUCAUUUAAGGGUUUCGAAUUUUAUUUAGAUUUUUCACCAUCUAUUUUGGUCCACAGAUUAGUUGAGCAUUAUUGUCUUCACCUACCCGGAUUAUUGAAUUUUUUUUCCUUUGAUUGCAAAAUAACAAAAUGAUCCAGUUGUCCCCGAGUACUAUUACUCAUUCGAAUAUGAACUUGUCUCCGAUCGAAUUCUAUUACUCAUUCGAUCUGAACUUGUCUCCGAUCUAAUUCUAUUACUCAUUCGAUAUGAACUUGUCUCCGAUAUAAUUCUAUUACUCAUUCGAUCUGAACUUGUCUCCGAUCUAAUUCUAUUACCCAUUCGAUCUGAACUUGUCUUCGAUCUAAUUCUAUUACCCAUUCUAUCUGAAUUUGUCUCCGAUCUAAUUAUAUUUACUCAUUCGUUCUAAACUUGUCCCCAUAUAACAUAUUAUAUAAAUAAAAUUAUAUGCAAUUGUAAACGUGCAACAUUUAUUGCAACUUGUCCUUUUAUCUGACACAGCAGUCUGUCCCUUUAUCUGACACACCAGUCUAUCACCAUCAAGGACAAUUUCGUCCACAAUUUGCAUGUGGCAAUGAAAUGUGAUAGAUUUUAAAAACUCUUUCCAAAUGUGGUAGAUUUUGAAAGCCAUUUUUUAAAAAGUGGUACAUUUUGCAAGAUUCCCUUAGGGUUUAGUGUUUUAAAUAGUAGCUAAUAUUAAUAAUAUAAAGUAUACUAUUAUAACAUAAAUGAAUUCUAUCAUUUUGUUAAUUAUAACAUCAUUAAUGUGUUUCAACAAUAUGAUUUACACAAUAAGAAGAUUAGUGUACAUGUAUUCUAAGGCAAUCAUAUGUGUUUCCUUCAAAUUUCUAAAAACGUUGCAAAAUAUUUUUUUAAAAUUGCGAAAAAAUUAUCUAAUCAUGUAAAUAACUCAUAAACAUAUUAAUUCGUCAAUAUAUAAAUUUUUAAAAAUUAUAUAAAUAGUAAAAACACAUUUUUAUGCAUAUAAACAAAAUAAGCCAAUCAUAAUGUUUCACUCGGAUUGCUGAUGUGGCGAGAUCUCAGCCAUUCAUCGGAUCUAAGACAAGAUCAAUUUACUCAAGCCAAUCAAUAAGUUAUACUCGGAUACAUGACGUGGCGACAUCUUAUCCGUUCAGAGGCUUUGGCGGUUGCAUGUUUAAGGUAAUCUCAUCCGUUCAUCGCCUAACUAAGUGUUUGGCGAGAUUCUCUUCAACCUCUCAUCCGUUCUUCACCAUUUUCUCUUGAGAACAAAAUUCACAAGAAAAUUAAUUCAGAUUAGGUCCGAUGAUUCAGAAAAAAAUUCUCGCAUCCUACUUCUUCAAACCUCAAAUUCAUUGCCAUCUCCGACUCGAAUCUGAGAGAACCAAAGAAGAAGACGAAGAAGAAGAAUGGUCUGUCGAAGGUACUAUAAUUUCACCUCUCUUCCUUUCUAGCAGUGCAAGCAUGACAUCUCUACCGUUGAUUGUCAGCCUUCUGGUCCCGCUUCCGGUAUGCUUGUUUUCGUCUCCGGUAAUCUCCAGCUCGCCGGCGAAGAGCACGCUCUUAAGUUCAGCCAGGUCUGUGUGUUGACUCUUUAUCCUAUGAGUUGGAUAACAGAAUCAGCUGCAAGCCACCUCGUACCAGCCAAGUUAAAAGCUCCAUUAUUAGCAAUGUUGAGAUCAAGCUGGGCAUGUAAUGCGUUAAAGUGAUCCACCAGAUUUGUGUACUCCACACUGUUUAGAAGUGCUAGACCCGGAUUGAUAAAAGCGAUGACACGAGUCAUGGCCAAAAUGCGCAAGAUCCUUCUCAUCUGAAAAAAAAAAAAAUGUCAAAAAGUAAUCAAAUAGAGACUAAAUUACAGAUUGAAAAGCAAAUAAACAAAUACCUCAUCAACAACAAAUAAAAUAUGUGGGUGAUGAUCAUAUAGGAAAUGGCCAAUGAUCUCCCUGUAAUCAAGCAUAUCUAAUAUUCGUUGAUUCAAAUCUGUGAUAGCAUUCAAGACCUCAUUGACUUCGUUAGUCUGGUUGAUAUAAUGUUGAGUCCACUCAGUGUUGUCAGCACACCAAGCAGGAAAAUGAUCUGGAAAUGCACCGCACUAAAAAAAAGAAAAGAAGCAAUAUGAUAAAUACAAUAGCAAAAAUUAUACAGAAGUAUUUAAUAUUCAAAAGAAAAAAAAAAGUAACCAACAUACCACAGCACAGUAGGUCUCGUUACAGACUACACAAUGUGCAUAAUAGACGCUCCCAUGUACAGAAACUGAGCAAGAAGGCUUACUAGUCUUUAUAGAGAGAUCAGUUAAAUUCCCUGAGUUUCUUCAUUCUCAUCAUACACAUAUAUGCCAUUCGUCGGUGUAUAAACCGAUCUAGAGAUGAAGAUGUCGUUACACCAUUUAUUAUAAAAAAUUUUGUUGAAUUUUUUUUUAAUUUACAUUAAUCGAAAAAAAUAAUAUAAAAAUCAGAAAUCAAAAGAUUUAAAAAAAAAAAAAAAAAAGAAACAAAACAUAUAGUCAUAUAAAACGGUGAGAGUUGCUUUGCUAAAAAAAAUAAAAAAAGGUGAGAGUUGAUUUAUUUAUUCCAAAAAAAGUUGGUUAAUGUCUUGAAAAUGAGAUUGUACAUAUAAGUGAGCUAACAUGUUUUUUUGAAAAAGGAGUUAAAAGCUCAAAUUAAAAAAAAAAUCUGGAUAAUUUUACCCAAAAAAAAAAAAAAAUUCUGGAUAAGCUCUUAAUUAAACAAAUAAAUAAAUAGUAACAACGGUUGAGAAUUAAAAAAUAAUUACAAUUGGUGAGAAUAAAUGGGCCUCAAUUGGGCCAAAACAAAAAAAAAAUGAGCACGUGGAAGAAAAGGGAAUAAGUAAGUAGUCGUCUUCUUCGUUUUGGAUUUGGCCGGAAACUAAGAACAAACCGAUUCAGCCGUUUGGAAUAAUCAAUAAUGAGGACGAUUUCCGAUCUUCCUGAGGAUUUGGUAGCGGAGGAGAUAUUGUCUAGGGUUCCAUUGAGUUGUUCGAGAUCAGUGCGAUCUACUUGCAAAAAGUGGAACGCUUCAUCUAAAAAUCGGAUUCUUGGUAAAAAAGCAAAGAGGCAGUUUAUGGGAUUCUUGAUGAUGGAUCAUAAAAUUUGUUUUAUGAACUUGGAUCUCCAAGGAAUCCAUAAAAGCUUGGUUAAUCCAUCAUCUAUAAAGCAAGUAAGUAUAUUUGAUCAAAUCGAUGUAGCUACCAGCUACGGUCUUUCAGUGUGAAGGGUUAUUGCUAUGCGUCCUUGAGGACAACUCGAGGCUUUUGGUAUGGAAUCCGGGAAACAAAGUGGAUCCAACCGAGAGAUAAAUCACGCGGGCAAGACGCGUAUGCUCUCGGAUAUGACAAGAAGAAGCGUACCCACAAAAUCUUGAGGAAUUUCGAUUUUCCUCUAAGCGGAAGAGAGUAUGUUAUAGUAUACGAAAUCUACGAUUUUAGCUCUAAUUCAUGGAAGGUUCUUGAUGUCCCUACGGACGACUGCCAUAUAUCUUCUCAUAUCAACGGCGCGUCUUUGAAGGGAAACACUUAUAUUCUUGCAAGGAAACACGGAGUAACCAAAAUACUUGAAGAUCUUUUGCUAUGUUUUGAUUUUACAACAGAGAGCUUUCGGCCUCUGCCUCUGCCGUUUCGCGACACUUUCAGUGAUGGAGGAGAUUUUGUGUCUCUAUCUUGUGUUAAAGAAGAACAGCUCGCGGUCUUAUAUCAACGCUAUUGGAACCCACCUACGGCAAUCGAGAUCUUUGUUACGAAUAAGAUUGAUGAUCUAAAUGCGGUGUCGUGGAUCAAGUUUUUAAAACUGUCCACCAGUUUUUACGGUCUGUGUUUGUCUGGGAGUUUUUUCAUUGACCAAGAGAAGAAAGUUGCUGUGGUUUUCGAUCUAGAGUUACCUACCAAUGACAACAGUCGUCGUCGUCGUCGCUACCAAACAGCUCACAUCAUUGGAGAAGAUGGAUACUUGAAAUCUGUUACUAUCAGAGGAGCUCCGCGUACCUGGUCAUCUGACAGAAUUGAACAUUAUACGAAACAAUCUUGUGUCCCACUUGUGUGCCCUUCAUACGUUCCAAGCUUGGUGCGACUUCAAAUAAACAAACCCAGUCGGGCAAAUGGAGAGAAAGUGAUUAUUAUUAACCGUUAAGUUCCAUUUACGACAAUACGUUAUUCUCUUGAACAACUUAUUAUUAGUUUUUGUUUGCUAUCUGUAUUUAUCAUCUGAUGAAUUGGCUUUUGCAUGUUUUAGCUUCUUUUUAAUUGUUCAUAAGUACUUAUGUACAAUUCAUAACUCACUUGUGAUGUAAUAUUAUCAUACAGUACACUGAAGCUUUAUUCCCUUGUGGUAAUCAUUACCAACAGUUUUAUGCUCUGUUUUCAAUUACAAAGAUGCUUAUGGUGAUUGGUGUUGAAUGUGUCAAACAUAUCUAACAGACAAAACGAAGAAUGAUAGCUAAAUACUUAUGUUACCUUACUACUUCAUCAAUGCCUCAACUGCUUUGUGUAAAGCACUAUUACGAUAUUUAAACAGCGAAUGAGGUCCGUUCCACACGGAAUUGUGAUUGUCGUCCUUAGGGAAGAGAGUUUCACAGAGACUUAGAAGCUGCGGGUUUCUGACUUCGAACUUUUCUUGCAUCUUCAUUCUCCAUUCUUUACGCUCCAACUCCUGCCGUUUCUGCGAUAACGAAAUAACACCAAUUUACCUCAAUCGUGCUUAUUGCUUAAUCAAAACGUUAUAAAGCUUCAAACCAAUGUUUCUCUGUUGUAUAUAGGUAAACGAGAGCCAAUAGAAAGAGUAGAUACCUUUUGCUCUUGGAGUUGUUUUUCCUUCUCUUCCUCAUCUUUAUGAGUCGAUUUUGGACCUUCAAUGGAUGCUAAAACAACCAAUUUCUCUGCAGCACUAGUCACACGCUCAUCGCCAGUCUCUUCCGUUACUCUAUCAAUCGAAUGAGUCUUAUCCUCUACAUUAGCUUUGGUUUUAUUUUCACUCUCCACUUCAACAUUUUCCUCUUCCUCCACCUCUUGUUUAUCUUCAUUCACUCUUUGUCUCUUUGACACCGGACUAUCUAGUUCCACGAUUUCGGUUUUGUUGUCAACAUCAAUAUCCAUGUCCUGCUCCUCACCCAUGUUUAUUGAUGAAUUAUCCACAGACGGACUUCCCGCAGGUGAAGAUUCCUUCAACAGAGAUAUCAAAGUUAAAAUUUGUUGCAAAGUUUACACAUUGCAGCCGUCUGAAGUCAAAACCGGAGUUGUGUGUGGGUUCUCUUUGCACAUAAACACUUGCACACCAAGAGAUAUAUGUGUGCGUUUUGUAAACAAAACACACUACUAACCUCUUGUGCUCCAGAAUGUCCUUGAGAAUCUCGUUCACGUUCUCUUUUACGUCGCUUCAAAACACAUAUCGCACACAUGCAAUCACUCUUGUGGUGCCUUCUGCAAACGAAAAUGAUGACUAUUUAAUGAAACCUAAUCCGAAUCCCACUUUUGGAGGGCACAAGAAGGGCACAAGCUCUAUAGUAACCAUCAGUAAAAAAAGAAUGGAAAUACAUUUUGGCAAAAGAGAAAACCAAAUUCAGCUACACAAUGUCUGCUUAAUGACCAUUGACUAAGACUGGCUAUGGUUAAGCAGAUCUUGUUACAGUAGCUUUGUAAAAGAUAACCUCUUGGCUAUAACCUAGAAGAUUUAUGAGACACGGUUGAAACCAAACUCAGGCUAAGGUUGACCACAAGUACACACAUUUGAAUAUGAGGCCCUAUGUAUCAGAGGAAAAAACGUUUCAGCGACAUACCCAUGGCGUUUAUGGCUCUUCUGCUUGGAUUGACUGCCUUUGGUGGAUGACUUCCCACCAUCCUCUGUAUUUUCUGCUGAUAACCAAAGAAACCAAAUAAGCUAAUUUGUAAAACACAGUUACUCAGACCAAAACACAUAGCUAAUAGUUACAUUGCAAAUAGUGUAUCGCUCCACAUAUUGGCAUUUUCUCCUGAUAGUUUUCUUUCGCAUAGAAUUCUUUUUUUUUUUUUAAUGGCCACAUGCACUUCCUACAUAUGGGUCUACACAUCUUUUAAAAUUGAAAUUCAUAAGAGAAUCGAAACUGAUUAGCCAUGCAAACUAGACGUAAAGCGGUAAUCAUAACCAAAGGCUUACAUGCCCAAUCAUUCGAGAUUAACUCAUCCGCGCGUCUAACAGCUUUGAAUGGAUCUAUUAAUAAAUUAAGUUUGUUUUUCUUAUACUUUUAUUACUAAAAUGAGGCCAUAUGAAUUUCAACAAUGACAUUUCAUUAGCUAAAAUCAGCAAUGACCCUUGUCAGACACACAUGGUGAUUCAAAAGCAGAAGCUUCUGAAUAUGUUCAAGUGUCAACUAUAUAAGCCUAAGGGGAACCAGAAGCAUAACUAUCUAUGGAGAGAGCUGUAGCUACCAAUUUAACAAUGCUUCAGCGUUCAGCCCAAAAGUCAAAAGCUGGAGAAGAUAAAUUUGGUAAUACCUGCUGAUUCAGUGUACAACCCUGCUGCAGUCCAGUACUUCAUGAAAUUUUUCUUUACUCGCUUCAUCAAAUCCACAAUAUAAUCACCUUUCUUAUUGUACUUAGAACAGUUAUUCCAAAUGUACUGGACAUCCUUGUAAACGUCCUCAGAAUUCAUAUACUUGUUGCUUUUUUCAAAAUUAUUGCAUAUUGUUCCAAAAUCCAUAGGUGUCUUGAUAAUUUCGAAAUAGUCCUAAUACCAAGACCAGAAAACAGGUAGACUGUGUUAGUUAACAAUUCUGAAACCCCUUUACAAGCAAGGAGCAAAGAAUAGAUGGGAAAAGUAUAGGAGAAAAUAUCCCAUAUUACUGUCUAGCGACCGGGACAAGAAAGUCAUACUACAAUUCAUUAUCCAUCUCUGUUAAGAGUCUAAGUUUGUCAAAAAUUAUAAGAUGACAGAGUCAAGAUAUUCCUAAUUAGGUGAUAAGAGGGUACUGUUCGUCUUUGGUAGACAAAUGUAAGUUAAUCCAUAUGAACUGAAAAUUUAUAUCCCUCAAGGACAGAGACAGACAAAAAUCUCUGUAUACUAAUACAGCCAAUCUGGUCCACUUACACACAUUUUAAAAGAGUAUCCUUCCCUUCUCCACAUACGGAAAGAGAAAGAUGAGACCCAUACGCUGAGCUAACUAAUAGGACUGGUUCAUGUACUAUAGCAUUUCUAGGUCUUAUCAACUGAGACCAAACUGAUUCUACGUUUGUUCACAAGCAGAGUAAUAAGGCUUUGCAAAAAUAUAUAGAGUUUUUUACCUAGGAAGUUCAACAUAAGCAUGUGAUGGAGAUAUGUGAGAUGUAUAUUAAUAGUUGAGUUUUCAGAAGCCAAGCUUAAUAUGUACCAAAACAGUGUGCCUCUAUCUAAUAAAGAUGAAGCUAAAAUCUGCACUUACAGGAAUUCCAAGAGCUUCUGGGUUCACAGGAGCAUUAAAGGGAUCAGCAGCAUCCAUCUUCAUAAUCUUUUUGAUCACCUAUAGCAGUAUGACACCAACACAAAGAAGGUAAAUUAGACAUGAUAUUCAACUCGAACUAUUCGUACCUUCAAAAAGAGCAACAAAUUAGGUAGAUUAAUCUGAGCAUACUGUAAGAGAAUCCUCCAGUUCUUGUUUAUUGUAUCGUGAAUUUUGGUCAGUCUUCUUCUCCUCUUUCGGCAAAGAAAUUGGUGCACUUUCUGGCUCUUUCUUACUGGCUUGAGGAUUCUCAUCCAGCGUUUUUGUAUCCUUUUGAGGUGCAUUUGCAUCCUGGGCCUUGACAGCAUCAGCACUCUUCUCAGUAACCGAGCUAGAUCCAUCUACCGCCUUCGAAGACUUAAUCUUUAUACCCUUAGUUUUCCUGUAAACAUUCAGAAACACUGGCUUUCUCUCAGGCAAACGCGGAGGAACCAAUUCCUCCUUUUUCUCAGCAGGGACAGCAGGUUUUUCAGACCCCACUUGAGAACUAAUCUUAUCAAUAUCAUCACGCCAUGUCUCAUCUGGUUCUGGUGCUUUUGAGGUCUUCAAUUUAACCUUAACACGUCCCAUUGACUUCGCCGCUACAUUAUCAGCUGGAUCUACACUAGCAAUAGGUGAAUUACCAAUCUCAGUAGAAGAAGGUGCAUCAACCUCCAUUUUAGAUUCAUGUUCACUAUUCUCACACUCAGCAGGACCUUCAGAACUCUGCUCCGAGGUUUGAUUCUCCACGUUUUCGGUUGACUCAUUCAAGUUCCCUUCUUCAGUAAUAGAUUUGGACUUUUUAGACUUCUUCCCUUUCUUAUGUCCUCUUUUACGCUUCAUCUUCUCUUCGAUAAUCGUAUAACUUCACAGAAGCUAUAAGAAACUACUGCAAAAAAACAACCAAAUGACUAAAAAAGCUUAAAAUCUGAAACAAUCACAUCCGAAACCAAAAACACCAAAUCAUACGACAAAAUGAGAAGAUAAAAAUCAAUCGAAUUGUUCCAACAAAUUGCAGACAACACAACUUGCAGAUAAUCGUAGAUCACAAAUCAGAAAAGAAGCUUGAAUUCAGGAACAAAAGCAGAGAGAAUUUUACCAGAAAAAGGUAAACCCUAAAUCAAACAAAGCUACGUCGUCGUCAAAUCAGAGAAAAUCGAAACAAUGGCUAGAAAGCCAGAGAGUUCACCUCUUGUGCCACUAAUCGAUAAUCGGUAACCUCUUAUGUCACUGUUAUGUUUUAUCUUUAUUUUUGAAUUUCUUAAAAAUCGAAAAACUGAAUAAAUGACCAUAAAACCAAACGAAUUUCUCUUAUUUACGACCCAACCUAAAAUCCAUAUUAUUUAUCCUAAUUUGUAAAAUUUCUUUAAGUUUUUCAGAUCGAAAACUGUAAAAACCUAAUCUCAUUCUUCCCAUUCUCACUCGAAACUCAAACUACUCUCGAGAAAACGAAGAGUCCGACGAAUUCCGACGAAUUCCGACACCACUCUCAUCGGAAAUCUUGCUUCUCCGGCGUAUCGUCGUUUGCGUGUACUCCGUCAUUCGUCUCCUCCGUCUCCUCCUCGGUAGUUUGUCUUUUCGUCUCCUCCGACUCCGUUCAGCGUGUCUUCGUCUCGUUCUUAUAUGGCUCGCGUGAAAGGUAGAGAUAACAGGAUAUAUGAAUCAACAGAAGGGUCUCGAGAAGGGGCUGCAAAUCCGGAUCCAACAGAAGCUUCGACAGACGCUUCAGUUCCAACAGAAGCUUUGACGGACGCCGCAGUUCCAAAAGAUGCUCCGACGGAUGCCGCUUAUCCAACAGAAGCUCCAAUGGAUGCCGCUGUAAUUGGUCCAACAGUGGAAUCCGCAGAAGCAUCCACCGAAUUAGUAGUUUUUUCGGUUCCGGAAUUGUCUGAUAAAGAAGAGAAAGAAGAAGUCGGUGAGCAUGAUAAAGAAGUCCGUGAGUUGUCAAUUGAUGGUCAGGGUUGUGAUAACGAGGAAGAAGAGAGAGUUGUUGAUUCUGAGGGUGAAGAUGUUGCUGGUGAUAAUGAGGAGGAAGAUGUUGCUGGUGUUGUGAAGGUAAGUAACAGUUUGUAUUUGUUGUAUAUGGUGUUAAAGGUAAGCAACAGACAUAGUUGUACUCAGUUGUAUGUGUUUGAAUAUGCAGAAUAUAGUUGAUGAUAUUGCUGUUGAGGAAGAGGAGGAGGAGAGGGUUAAUGAUGUUGCAGCUGAUACAAAUGAGGAUGAUGAUGAUGAGGAAUCCCAACCACUGCCCCCAGAGAGCAUGUACUUUAGUCCAACUGAGUACAACAAGGUAUGUAAGGUAGGUAGUAGGUGUAAAGUUGGCCAAACAGUGGCCAUGAUAGAGGCAUUUGAUGAGGAAGUUAGUUGGUUUAGGAAUCAUGCUCAGUUUAAGCAUAUAUUCCACAUGCCUAAGGAACCAAAUCACAUGAUUCAAGGCAUGUGGAUGCUUAUGCUUCGCACUGCUCGCACGGGUAUGGAGAAUGAGUGUUGGUUUGUUGUGAAUGGAGUGCCUAUAAGGUACUCCUUGAAAGAGCAUGCUUUGUUGACCGGGUUGGACUGCCAUGAGUACCCAAGGAAUCAUGAGAAGAAGGGUAGUUUGAGGUUUGUCAGGAGGAUGUUUGGGAGGACAGACCUAAUCAAAAUCAAAGAUGUAGAAAAGAAGUUGGCAGCUAUUAAGAGUGAGAAGUGUUUGGAUAGGAAGAAGUUGAUUAUUUUGUUGUUUUUAUGUGCGGUUGUGAAGGCUGAUUCUAAGGGUGAUGGGAACAUAGAGCAAUUCCUGUUAAGGAUUGUUGAUGAUGUUCAUGCUUGUGAAAUAUUCCCGUGGGGAAGGUAUUCUUUUGAGCAAUGUAUGACAGGGAUCCGGAGAAUGAUGAAAAACAUGAAAGGUGAGGUGAAACCAAAAGCACAGAGCAGCUUUUUUGGAUUCAUCACUCCUCUUGAGGUAAAAACUUGUGAAUAUUGUAAUGAGUUAGAGUGUUUAAGUUAUAGUAGUAAAACUGUGUUAUUGUGAAUGUGUAGAUUUUUGCAUUUGAGUGCAUACCACAGCUUGGAAGGCGAUUCAGAGAAGCUGUUCCCGCAGCUAAUGACUGUCCAAGAAUGUGCAAAUCUAAAUUCACUGACAGUUGCAUGAAGGGCUUUACCUUGGAUGAAAUAAACCAAGCCCUUGGUGAAAUUAAGGUUAGCUUUUGGUGCCUUUACUUCUCUUAGUAUGCAUAUUUAUUGAGAUUGAUGCUAUGUGUAUUUGACAGGAUAUCUCAAGCAUCUUGGAACCUGAUAUGGAUGAGAAAGAGAUGUUGUCUGGCCUUGUUGAGAAAAAUGUUGAUGAAGGGAUGGGAUUUAUUGAUCCAGUUGUUGAAGGUUGGAGAGAGCAGCUGAUCAGAAAGAAGAAGAAAAUCUGGUGGAAAAGUCUAUACCAGAUGGACUUGCAGGCUCGGGGUUUUGGUGAUGUUGUCCCUGAAGUGGCUGAGAGGCUUGGUGAUGUUAAAGAAAGUGAUGGUGAAGUCCCUGAGAGGCUUGGUGAUAUCCUCUCAUUACAGUCAGCUGUGGACAAAGGAUUUGCGAAGAUCAUGGAGAAGUUGUCUGAGAUGGAUAGCAAAGUGAGUAUGCUGGAUGGGAGAGUGAAAGACUUAGAGGGUUAUGUGUCAGUCCAGCUAGAGAAAGAGCGGUACAAUGAGUAUCAUCCAGGGACUUCAAGUGAUUUUGUGCCAACCUAUUGUACACCAACUGCUAAUCAACCAAUAGCGAGUCCGACAAAGGCUUUGGUCCUUCACAGUGGUUUCACAGACCCUAAGCCAAUCCAGAUUCAAGAAUUGAGUGAGUUUACAUUUUUGUAGUUUUUAGUGUAACAUACAUGUUCUAACAUUGGAGUUGUGUAGGUGAUGAAGGUGAUCAGGAGCAGCUGGCUAGGAAAGAGAAGGAGAACAAGAAGAAGAAAGCAGUGAGGCCGAAGCAUAGUGGCCCUACAAUCCAGACCGGGAAAAAGAGACAAAGGAAGGCUUCCAGGUUUCAGGCUGAACAGUUUACAGCAGAGGGGAAGGGGAAGGGGAAGAAGCGGCAGAAGAAAUAGGUGAUCUUUAUGAGAGAUCACUCUUUAUGAGUAAUUGCUUUUGUGUAGGACAAAACUUAUAUUUUCUGAGUAUUUUGCGGUUAUCUUUUAUUAGGAUUCAAAACAUUGUACUAUCUUUUGGUUGUGUUGUGGUUUAGGUGCAUUUUUUGUAUUUGGGGUUUAGGAUGAUUCAGAAAUUAUAUUUUAAAAAAUUAUGCAUCUGGUCCAACUACUAACAAACGUGGGACAACUAUUAACACAAGUAGGACAACAGGAACAACUACUAAAUUUUGGUUGGACCAGUUGAUCCAGGGACAACUACUAAUAAUCCUGGGACAACAAUGUGAUAAACCAAGAACAACUACUAUUAAAAUAAAUUUUAAAUUUUAGUUGGACCAGUUGAUCAAGGGACAACUACUAAUAAUCCAGGGACAACUACUAAUAAUCCAGGGACAACUAUGUGAUAAACCAAGAACAACUACUAUUAAAAUAAAUUUUAAAUUUUAGUUGGACCAGUUAAUCAAGGGACAACUACUAAUAAUCCAGGGACAACUAUAUUAUAAACCUGGGACAACUACUAUUAAAAAUACUUAGUAAAUACAUAUAAGUCGGAGUUGUACCGGUUGAACCAAGUACAACUAGCAUUACUGCAGGUACAACUACUAAUAAGACUUCAUGAAAACACAAAUCCAUAUCCAAAAUACAAAUUCAUAUCCAAAAUACAAAUACAAAGACUAGGUGGUAAUCAUACAAUAUUAUUACCAACUUGAAAGUAACCCCUUAAGCCUCGCAAUCUCGACUUCUUUUGUGGCUAACCUCGCUUUAAGGGCAUCAAUUUCUUCACGCAUAAGACGAAGAGUUUCCCGGAUCGACUCCAAAGCAGGUGGAAAUCCACCCCUCGCAACCUCAAGAGAGGUUAAAACGUCAAAUCGUAGGUUUAUCUUGGACAGCUCCUCCGUAACCGCACAAUCCCACCACUGAACUAGGUGAUCUCGAUUAACCUUAUAUUCGUCUCCAUCCUAGGAAGAAUAUAGAAAGUUCAAAACCAGCAAGUUGUACUUAGUUGUUCCAGAAUUGCAACUAAACCAUACCGUAAGCAAUGGGCAUCUAUAUACGCGCUCUCCUUGUCGCUGUCCUGUUAUACACCGCUCAAGCUUGACCAUUAAACCGCAGAAACACCUCUUGGGAACACCAUAAUUGGCGUCCGCAUUUCGGCAUCCACUGUUGAUACUUUCUACGGAUGUGGAGGGUUGAGAGUAACUAUAAGGCAUAUCUACGGUUAAGAAGAUGAAGCUCGGUAAGUAGAUCUGACCAUUCAAUCAAACAUAAAUCAAUUAAAUCUUACAAUUUUUUGGGUAGAUCUGAAAAUCUUACAAAUCUCAUAUACCCUAAUUACCAGAAUUGCAGAUCUACUAAACUGAAGUAGUCUAAGAGAAUUGUCAUACCUUAUAACGGCGAGAGAAGGAAGAAAAAGAAUAGAUCUGAAAACCCUAAUUUUUUUGGGUUUCUCGUGAAGAAGAGAGAAGAAGAAGAAGAAGAGAGAAAAGAAGAAGAAGAGAUAAAGAAGAAUCGAGAUGUGAGAGAGAGAGAGAGAGUAGUCAAAGUAGGUAGGUGGGAUCUCAAAUAAAUCAGAUUCAAAUUAAAGGAGGUGGGUCCGAUUUAAGUCAAAAACUAGUCAAAAACUAGUGUGAACACAUUUAUGUGGGACCCCCGACAAAUAGAUUUUCUACAUAGUUGUUUUUAGAUGUCCAGUUGUCCUAAUUUCCUCACAGUUGAACUAUUUCAAAUUUUGUAAUUUUAUAGUUGAACCUUAAAAAUAUCAUAGUUAUCUAGUUGUUCACAUCAAUUUCCACAUUAUAUUGGUGUUUAAGAAGUUUUCAUAGAAUAAUUUGUCAGAAAACAUAGUUUCCAUACUUAUUUCAUCUUUAUAGAUGAGCUUGAACUAAUUGUUCCUUGUUACCUAAAGAGUGAUUUGUGUAAUUUUGGUUUUAGCUCACAUUAAUUAUUGAUAAUGUUACAUAUCAUAUAUUAAAAUUAUUAAAUGUACUUUCAGAGUGUAAAAAUGUUUUAAACUACUUAUUAUUGUUUGAUUUAUGUAAUUUUGUAUUUUUAUAUAUUUAGUUGUUUCCAGUUGUAUCGGUUGAACCCAGAAACCAUUUUUACUAAUAUUGCUAAGAAAUAAAAUAGUUUUUAUUACAAACUAGUCUUACAAAUAAUAAUCCAUAUAUUACAAAGCGAUAUUAGUCUUACAAAUAAAAAUACAAGUACAAAGUUGUUUAAGUCACAGUGGUUGAACCCAAAUGGUUACACAGUUGUUCCGGUUGAACCCAAAUGGUCCAGUUGUUCCAGUUGAACCUAAGUGGUAAAACAGUUGUACCGGCUGUACCAGGGAAUUAAUCAAGUUGCUUCUGGAUCCUCGGGCUGCAGCCAUCUCUCCAAGUUAAUUCCUGGAACAGCUUUGUUACUCUUUCUCCGUUUUUCUCCAACGGAUGGAAACCGUUUAUCUUGAUCUCGUCCUUUUUUUGGGGUGUAUUCCGGCGGGUCAGCCUCCAAAUCUUUAAUUGGCUCGGGAAUAAUCCAUUCUGACUCAUGUGGCACUACAAACAACGUCCUGUAAUAUGCCAAUGCCCAAGUAUCUAUCAAAUAAAAGACGGAGCAGAGUCCAUAUAUGCUUACAUCUCCAGCUCUCCCUUCCUUGCGGGCUAGGAACCUUGCUGCGGCAAUGGCAUGGACACACGGGUACUUGUCUAUAUCAAAAGUCUUGCAAGAACAAGUUUUCAUUUUCAAAUCCACCAAAAAGCUUACCGAAUGGAGAUCAAUGACGUUGUAUUCUUGUCUAUAACUGUUAAGCUCAACAACUUUUAACUUCGCAGCAACUGGACAUCGAGCAUGCAAGAUGUUCUCCACAAAAGGCACAACUUGUGAUGUGCUCGAUGCAUUACCUGAAUCUUGCCUAUGUUUGUUAAACCAUUCAGAGAACUUCUCAACAAGGGCAUCAAUCAUAGGUAAGAGGUCAUACGUCCUCGCUUUCCUAAACACAGCGUUCAUUGACUCCGCAGCAUUGCUAGUGUCUAUGUUGUACUUAUCUCCUUGGAAAUGGCACCUGGACCACUGCUCUCUCUCUCUAUAGUUUUAUCUAGAUAGUCAGCAGCAUUAGACCACCGACUCCUAAAAAUACCAUAUUCUCUAUUGAACUCACUCUCAGUAUAAGCAUGAGCGCAAUCCAUGAACUUCUUCGCAGCUCCCUCCUUAUCAAUCUUCGCACGGAGUCUCAGAUUUUGAGACAAAUGCCAUAUACAGUGUACAUGAUGCGCAUUCGGGUACACCGUCAUGACAGCCUUCUUGAUGCUUUGAUGUCUGUCACUAAUAAACACCAAAUCAGGAACUUCUGGAUAUACAGUUUUCAGCUUCUGGAAAAACCAUAUCCAACUAUCAUCCUUCUCCGCAUCAAUCACACCAAAUGCAAGAGGGUAAUGGUGAUGAUUAGGAUCUUGAGCUGUUGCAAUAACCAACAUCCCGCCAUAUACAGUUUUGAGAUGAGUUGCAUCCACAAUUAUCACUUUCCGCAUUGCCCUGAAGCCUUCAAUGCUAGCGCCCAAAGCUAUGAAUAGGUAUUUGAACUUCUUCUCUUCCAACUCGACACUUGUUACAGUCCCUCUAUUUACUUUCUAUAACAUGUAAAGAUAAGAAAACAACAUCUUGUAGCUUUUUUCCGGUCCACCUCUCACUUCACUAACAUGCUGCAUUUUCCCUCUUAAUGCAGUGGAGUAUGAACAAUGCACACCAAGUCUUCCUGUCACAAUAGACAUGAUGCUUUUUGGAUUUGGGGUCUGUAGACUACCUAGAAAGUCAGCAUGCAAAACAGCUGCUAUUAAUCGUGGUGUUCCUCUUUGUACACUAUUGCUUAUAGACUCAACAGACCGAGAGCAUGUAUGGAUCUUUCUAUGCACUCUAACACUCCAAUAAUCUGAUUGCUUUGUUCUCGCAACUCGUAAAUACCAUUUACACCCUUCAGAAUAUUGUUUGCAUCGUAACAUAAGUCUCACCGGGUCAGACUUAAUAGUUAAAACCCCAUAAACUUCUUGUUUUGCAGCUUUGUUUACCAAUUCCCACACUGCCUCCUUAGAACAAAAUUCUUGAUAAAGUUCUAUACCCGUACCAUCUUCCCAUUCUAUAUUCUUCGGAGUUUUUACACGAUUUGGAAUAGCUGGAAUAUCAUCAAAAUCACACAUACCAUCCACAUCUUCAUCCAAAUGGUUAUCCAUCGACCUUUCCACAGCCACAACUUCCAUACCUGUCACAUUCUGACACACUUCAUUCACCAAAACUUUAUUCACAUCAUUCACCAAAACUUCAUUCCCAUCAUUCUCCAAAACUUCAUUCACAUCAUUCUCCAAAACUUCAUUCACAUCAUUCUCCAAAACUUCAUUCACAUCAUUCUCCAAAACUUCAUUCACACCAACUGAACUUCGACGCUCCGGUACUAACAUUUCCACCCUCUGGUUAUUGUCACUUAAUACCUCCACAUGCAAAACUGGAAUACGACCCUCUUCAUCACAUUCUGUUAAAAAAAUGUAUACGUCCUCAUCAUCUACAAUAUAUGUCUCUCUCCGAGCUUUAGAUAGAUUGUAACUCAGUUUCAGAUUCCCAGGGACUCCAUUCUGGCCAACCUUCGUAGUGAUCUUAUCUAAUAGCACCGAAUAAGUUAUCUUCUCUAAACAUGCCGUCUUAAACGAUAUAGCGUAUAGUGAAUUUUUAUAAAUCCACUCAUUCCCUUCUGAAUAGUACCCUCCAUAGUCAAAAUGUACGUUAGUAUGGCUCUUCUUCUUCAUCGCCUCCUGAAAUUACGAUAAUUUAAAACAUAAUUACAAACACAAUUUGUCACAGUUAUACUAGUUGUACCAGUUGGCCUAUACAGUUGGACUAUACUCUAACAGUUGUACCAGUUGACUAUAGAGGGUACUAUCCUGAAACUACAACAAUCAAAAACAGCACAUACACCAUUUUCCACUGUUAUACUAGUUGUACCGGUUGGCCUACAUACUAUCAGUUGUACCAGUUGGCCUACAUACUAUCAGUUGUACUAGUUAGCCUACAUACUAUCCGUUGUACCAGUUGACUAUGGAAGGUACUAUCUUCAAAAUACAACAAUUAAAAACAGCACAUACACCAUUUGAAACAAAUAUUCUAGUUGUACCAGUUGAAUAAUUAAACAUAGUUGUACCGUUGGCCUAUCAGUUGUACCUAUUGGUCUACAUACUAUCAGUUGUACCAGUUGGCCUACAUACUAUCAGUUGUACCAGUUGGCCUAUAGUCUAUCAGUUGUACCAGUUGAAUACUUAAACGUAGUUGUACCCUGUUGAAUAACUUUCUCUUAGCUGUACCAAUUGACUGAGAUCUGACUCGAUUCUACUUAAAAUGUGACUCCAUUCAACAAUGUACGAGUGUAGCUCGAUUCUAACAUUCCCAUUCGCCAAUAUACUAUCAAUUCUUCCAAAAAACCCCCAAUUCUCAUUCAAAUCCCUAAUUUUAAAGAUUUCCAAAAUACUCUUAAAUUACCUAAAAAUCUAUCAAUGCAACAAUAAAAAGAGGAUACAUGAGAAGAAACUAACCGCUUUCGAGAAGGAGGACGCGACUGCAAAACCGUACGUGCAGAUCGGCGGGAGCGAGCUAUGGCGGAGGGAGAGAGAAAUGUCGGGGUCGGAGAGGAGAGAGAGAGAGGAGAGAGAGUGGGACGAAAUGAGUUUUUUAGUUUUUCUUUUUUGAUUUCUUCUUUAUUUCAUUAAGGCUAGUUUCGAAAAUUCACAUUCUCGGUGGCAUGCCAGAUUUUUGAGUGGCAUGCCAGAUUUUUUUUUUCCAAAAAGUGGCAUAAGUGACAAUUUUUCAGAAAGCCACUUUCCCCGAAUAAAAAAGCUAGAAUGCCACUUUCUUGUUUGUAAUUUCUUUUACCCUUUUUUUUAAAAUCAAAAGUGAUGGAAAUGUCUAAAAAACCUUUAAGAGAAUUAGUAAUUACAGAUCCAACCAAGACAAUCCGACCCAAAUUCAAUAACCCACGACUUGUGAGAAAGAUCAAAGAAUAUACGUAGACCUUAAGUUGAAGAAAAUUGAAAAAUACAGAUCCACCGAAACUGAUGUUUUGGUAGCUUACGCUGUAGAAAUCAAAAUCGAAUCUGUGAUGAUGAAGAUGAAGCAGACAGUUUCAUCGAACUCAGAAGCACAGAGUUACAAUGAAUCACCACACUCUCCUCUUCGAUUUCUUCUCCGUUAUCAGAUGCUAGAGAUUUACCGGAGAGCCAUUACGUUUCUCCUGAGAAAUCUCCGUUCAAAAUCGAGAAUCCCAAGUCAACGAUCGUAUGAUGGUAACAAGUUCAUGCAUUUUUUGCCUCUUUAUUCUCUGAUCUCGCCGCCUCCUCCUCAGUUUCCGUCGCCGCGACAUCAGAGGACUGCGCGAAUUCCGAUGAAUUCGUCUUGGGAUAAAGUCUCCGUCGUCCUUUGUAGUGCACAAUGUGGUCUUUGACAUAUGGAUCAAGGUGCGUUAUACACGUUUAAUUUCUGAACCAUUUAUGGAACUAAGUGAAGCUCGUUUGAUGUUCACUCAUUGCAUAUUUGUUGCAGGGAGAUAGUUGUCUUAUAAUUGCUUAUGGUGAUCAAACUGUAAGUUGUGACUCAAAGAUUUUUGAUUUACUUGUUUGUGAGGACAAAAUGGUGACACUGACAUUCUUAUACGCUGGAAUACAAAUUAAAGUGUGAGAUGUAGAUGAGAAUAAGUGUACUAGAGUUCUUAUAGGACAUGCUGGAAUUGUAAAAUCAAUGUGUUCACAUUCAAUGGAUUCUGGUUCAUGUCGAGCAUACAUAUGUUCCUUUUUAACUUAUUUAUGUUUUUGGUCAAGAGGGCUCUAACUUUUGUUGCUUACAAAUCUUCUUGUAUCUGGUUCAAGAUGGAUGUUUUGCGUUGUUGGAUUUAAUAUGUAAAAGUAGCUCUCACAAAGAGGAAUUUUGUAUCAAGUAAGUCUUUAAACUUGAUUGUGAUGAUAUUUUUUUUUUUUUGUCUUUUCACUUCUUUAUAACCAUCUUGAUAGUUGUUCUGGUCUUCACUCAGCUCUAUUGGGAUGGUUAAAGGAUCUCAUCAAUCUCCUCUUUCAAAACGAAUCAGACGUCGCAAGGUUUUACCUCCUUCUUAGUCCUAACUCUUCAAUUCUAGUAUUAUAUCCUAUCUUAUCUGCUAAUGGUUCGUGUUUCCAAGCUGCUUCAUCAAGCAUUACCUUUGUGCUUUAUUUGAAGGAUGAGAUCACAAUUGCCACUGCUGGAGCACCAGAUAAGCCUUUGUGCUUUACUCCGACAUUGCUUUGAUCUAUAGGAUAAAAUGAACAAGUUUUGAUUUCUUGACUUCUAAAGUAAAAUGAACAAGUUUUGAGUUUUCAAGAAACCAGAUUGGUGAUUAUUUUUGUAUUUUGUCCUUGUCUAUUUGUAUAGGCACUUUCAUAUAUUCGUUGUAUUGGGGAAUCUUAGCCAAUAACGAAAGAAAGAGCUUACUUUGAAGCAACAACUUUGAGAAAGCAUGGAAAUUUAUCUACUUUGGAGCUAUAAUGAGCAGAAGAUUAAAUAGUUGCAGCAGAGACUGAAAGAUUGCGGAUUUGUUUGAUUGUAAACAAUAGAAUCAUAUGGUGAAAGUGAAGUUUUAUGUACAACUAGAUCACUUAGAUACAACUGGGACAAUUUUGGUAUAACUUGAACUAUUUGGUGCAACUGCACUAUUUGAUUGUUCAGAUAGUUUUUUUUUUGUUUUUGGUGCAACUGACCUUUUGUUUGUAUAUGGUAAAGUGGAUCUUUUGUUUAUGUUAGUCGUUGGUUUGCUUUUGGAGUCAAUCAUGUCCGAGUCUUAUGGAGUCUAGAUAGUGGAGUUGUGGAAUUGAGUCAGUUAUUGUAGUGGAGUCUGUUCCUAUUUUUAAGCUUCUGUCUGUUGUUUCAUUUGAGUCCUUGUAAGGCUAUUUAAAGCCAUCUUUUUUAGGUAUGGUAAAGUGGAUUUUUUUUAAUGUACUAUGGUGGUAUUUUGGUUAUAUUUAGGUACAACUACGUACAGGUACAACUGGUAUAUUUAGGUACAACUACGUGUAGGUACAACUGGUAUAUUUAGGUCAACUACAAGGUCCUUUCGAGUUUUUUUAAAAAUAACAAAUUAAUUAAAAUUGAUAUUAAAAUGAAUUUAAAUAUGACUGACGUGAAAAAUAAUAAAAAAUUGGACCUUUGGCGGCGGGUUAUUAAUUUAAAAUCAUCACAAGUGCUGUAAAGUGGGCCAAAGAUAGCAGAAUAUUCAUAAAAAAUUAUUUGUUAUAAACGUAGUUGUACCUAGUUGUUCAGUUAUACUCUCAUAGUCAUAGUUGGACUUUUGCGAUUUUUACGUAUUUUCAGUUGGACUCUAAUAAAAAUUAGUAAUUUUAAGUUGGACACAUGAGUUUACACUAUUAAUUAUCAUUUGAGAGGUUUUCAUAAUACCGUUUGCACGAAAUCAUAAUUUUCACCUCUUUUGCAUCAAAAUAAGUGAUCACCUACAAAGUGUUCCUUAUACUAUAAGGAGUGUUUUAUAUGAAAACAAUAGUAUGCACUAAGAAAAUGAUAAAUUCGAGUUUGAUUUAUUAAAAAUUAUUUCUUUAUAGUUCAACAUGUUUUUAGAAUCCUUAUUAACUCUAAUUUAUCGUUUUUCAUAAUUGUUGAAUACAAAUACGGAUACAUUUAUAAUCUUAGUUGUACCUUAUCGAACAUAAAUAUACCUAGUUGAACAUAGUUGUAUGAAUACGACAAGUACAUAUACUGAUACAUAUAUGGUUAUAGUUAUGGUCUUAGUUGUAUCAAGUAUAGUUAUGGUAUUAGUUGUACCAGUCAAACCUAGUUGUACCCAGUCGAACAUGGUUGUACGACAAAUACAAAAGAUUUUUAGUCAUCAGGAAUUCUUUUAAUUAAUAAUCAUUUAUCUUCCAUAAUAUUAUAUAUUUACUUCGAAAUUAAAAUACUAAUAACUUUUAAGAAUAUAAUUAGUAAUCAGAAACAAUAAAAGCUUUAUAUAUGAAAAUGCUUAAGAAGCUUACAAAUUUGAUACUCACAGUAUAACGUCGUUAGCAAUAAUAGAAUAACCAAACCUAGUCUCUCUAUCUAACCGACAUUUAAGAAAGAACAAAGUAUUUGAUAUAACUCAAAAUUAGAGAAAAACAAUCCAAAUCUUGAAAAUGGGCAAAGACUCAAAUCUAAGCAAUAACAUGCAUGUCCUUGAGCCACUGGUCCAAUGGCUUACCAAUAGAGUAAACAAUAAACCCUAUCUUUCCAGCUUCUCUAAAUCAACAACAUUCCUACCUUCAAAAACAAACGCUGGUUUCUGCAUAUUUUCAAAGAUCUACUCAUAGUCAAAGCGUCUUAAACUCGUCCCACUCGGGUUAACAAGCAGAUUAUUUGGACGUCUUUAGUGGCGGCACAAUUUGACAAUCCAAAGACAGUGAUGAUCCAUCUUGAAAUCACAUCUUUGACCUGCAUAAGAAAACAUGGAUUGAGUAAAACUUUAUUUCUCUAUCACUAGAAAGUGGUCACCAUACAAUGAGACUUGUCACUACUAAGCAAAACAUAGUAGCAAAUCAGAUUUUACCUUACACACAUUACAAUGAUGGGAACGAGGCAAUUACAAGCAAUGACUUACAGAUUGAAUUCAUUACAAGACUAAAGUAUGAAUUUUGAGGUAGAAUUUCCCAUAAGAACUCAUGAUUACGAAAUUGACAGUUCUCAUUCCCAACAUCGAAUCCCACCACACUAUCUAAGCGAAUCAAGAAGAGAUCUAAGAUAUAAAGUUACAAAAGCAUUAUGAAAUUCUUGCUCUUUGAAGAGAAAUCAAAUCAACGAGAAGAAGGACAAAUGAUGAAAAAGACUAUACAAUGAUCAGAAACUUCAAAUCGUUUAUGUCGAUGCUCUGAUGACUGAGAAAGCGUCGUCGUCAUCGUCGUCGGAGCGGUGAUGGUUGUUGUUGAUAUCCAUGGCGGAAGAUUGAGGAACUAAGAAAGAAUCUCUCAGUUUCAUCAAUGGCGGAGGAGAGAGAAGAACAAACCGAUUGCAAGGAUGAGACGCCGAAGACGACGGCCGGCGAGAACGGUGGGCGAACCGCUCCGGUGUGGGAGGAGGGAAUCGGAGGUCUCGUGAGGAUGAUAGAAAAUUGUUUUUAUGUUUUUGUUUUUCUUCUAGUUUUAAUUUCUCAAAAUUAAUUAAAUCAAAAAUAUUCAAUAAGGGCAAAAUAGAAAUAACACAUACUAUGAUGGCAUACAUACUCUAAAAUGGCAGGUGUGAUUCAUUUUUCUGGUUUAGUGGCAUUCUAGCCUCUGGCUCGAGAAAAUCGAGAAGGUCACUCUUGUGUGAGGCAGCUGGUUGAUAAUCCGAUUGUCAUUGGUUAUUUCCGGUUCAAUUACUUUAUUUCAGCAAACCAGGUCUCAGUGUGUUUAUUAGAGGCUAGACCUAUCGUAUAUGUAUACAUCCUUGGCUCAUUUGGAAGAAUCAAUCAGUGAAAUAUGCUUCUCCAAAAUCCCCAAACAUAUCUCUGUUAAAGAUCUGGUAGAUUCUCUCUGCUUUGCCUCAUUUGUUUGGGCAUUUUUAAGGUUGUUUGAAUCGAUUUUGAUAGUUUAGUUGAUUAAUGAUUAUAUAGUGGUGAUUUUCACAGCACCGACUCAAAACUCUUAGAGCAUAAUUAUUGGUAGAACUAUGGCCUGGGCAUAAAACUCGAAAUCCGAAAACCGAUCCGAAACCGAUCCAAAAAAUCCGGAACCGAACCCAAACCGAAUAGUCACAAAAUCCGAACGGAUAAUGAAUUCUCCUAUCCGAAUUACCCGAACCGAACCCGAUCCGAACCAAAAACCGAAAGGAUAUCCGAAAACCGGAAAUAAAAAAUUAUAUAUCCAAAAAUAUUAGUUAUAUUUAGUUGUAAUUUUAUAGCAAAUAACAAAAAUAUCCUAAAUAUCCUAGAUUUGGGAAAGAUUUUAGUUAUAUUUGUUAAAAUUAUACAUAUUUUUGCAAAAUUUAACCAAAUUUUAGUAAGAUUAAACCAAUUUUUAUUAAGAUUGAACUAUUUUUAAGUUUUUUUUCCCAAAAACCGAUCCGAAUCCGACACCUAUCCGAACCGAAACCAAACCAAUGACUCAUAAAAUCCGAACGGAUAAUAAAUUCUCCUACCCAAAUUUUCCGAAUCCGAAUAUAUCCGAACCGAAACCGAACCGAAAAAUCAUAAAAUCCGAACGGAUAAUAAACUCUCAUACCCGAAUUAUCCGAAUCCGAAUAUAUCCGAUCCGAAUCCGAUUUGAAAUCCGAAUGCCCAGGCCUAGGUAGAACACCUAUUGAGUUCUUUGACAAUUUUUUAUUAUAUAAGUUAAAGAGACUGUUUCUUAUGGGUUCCAAAAGUCUCUCUUUUCAGAGAGUGUUCUAUAUUUAAAGAGACUCCAUUCAUUAUUUUUAUUAUUUAUAAUGUUUAGAGACCCAUCAAAAAUCUCUCAAAAACUAUCAAUAAUCAUGGUCUUAUGGGCCCCGGCCAAAAAUAAUAAUUUUGGACCCUAAACAUUUUUUUUAUAGAUAUUCUUUUUUAAUAUAUCUUUUAUUAAAAUAAGUUUGUUAUAAAAACAAAAAUAUACACACAAAUUUUUUUUUGGGCCUCUUUCUAAUCUUAUAUUUAGUUUACUAUAUAUUUUUUUUACAAAAAAAAUUAAAAAUUAAAAAUGGACCCUUAAUUACUAGGUCACGAGACGGAGCCCGGAGCGGUCGCACCUAUUGUCCCCCCCUCCCCCCCUCUGAGCCGGCGCUAGAUUUUCAAUACCCUAGAUUAGGGCUGGGCAUUCGGGUAUGCGGGUCGGGUUCGGGUAAAACCCAAUCGGGUACGGGUCUUUCGGGUAGAGGAGUUUAGGACCCAAUAGGGUAAAUCUAAAAUAUCGGUUCGGUUUCGGUUCGGGUCCAAUCGGGUUCGGGUCGGUUCGGGUUUAGAUUUUCAGAACCGCUAAAUACCUGAAAAAAUCGGGUACCCUUCGGGUUCGGGUAUUUUAUACCCGAUUAUACCCAAAUACCCAAAAAUUUACCCAAAUACCCAAAAAUUUUACCCUAAUAUCCAAAUUUUACACGAAAUUUUACCCUAAUAUCCUAAUUUUACCCAACAUUUUAUCCGAAUAACCAGAAUUUUAUCCAAAUAUUCCAAAAAUUUACAAGUAUCUCGCAUAUAAAUAUAUUUAGUCUUAAAUAUUUAAAUAUAAGUAUAUUUAGUUUUUGGUCAUUAUUCUCGGAUAUUUGGAUAUAAAUGUAUUUAGCUUGAAUAUUAGAUAUAUAUAAAGUUUUUAUAUGUAUAAUUAUAUAUAAUUUCGGGUAAUCGGAUACUCGUUCGGGUAUCGGGUUCGGAUCGGGUUACAAGACCCAAUAGGGUAAAUAGCUAAUACCCGUACCCGCCUCGAACCGGUUUUUUCGGGUCGGUUUCGGUUCGGAUACUCGGGUACGGUUUUUUUGUCCAGGCCUACCCUAGAUUUGUGGAUUUCGUGAUAUACGUGUUUUUUUUUUUUUUUUGUCAUUAUGAAGCUUUUUUUUUUUUUUGUCAAUUCUCAUUAUGAAGCUAUGGAUUCUCUUUUUACUAGUUUAGUUUUGUCUAUUUGAAAUAUCUAUCACUAGGUGAUUGCCCGCGCGCAUGCGCGGGAAGAAUGCUGUAUGAAUGGUAAAAUCAUGUGAAAUAAGGGAUUGUUUAGGUGUUACUUGGUAGUGUAAGAAAAAUAUGGUAAAUUGUUUAGGAUUUAGUGUUGUAAAAUUAUGGAAAAUGAUGAAAUUUAAAAAAUUCAAUAAUAUUAUAAAUGCUAAAAAAAUAAUAAUAAAUCAUCUUUUAAAAUCAUUCACCAACAAAAUAAGAAAUCAACGAACAUCAUCACUCCAUGGCAUUCUCCUCCCGUGUGAUGAUCGGUACUUGGUCAUUUUCAGGAUUCCUGACAUCCGAUUUAGAACACCAUAAACAGUGAAUGUCCAGUCGCCAACUUUAGAGUUUUGAUUGUAAACGGAAAAAAAAAAAUACUUACCAACAAAGCAUCUCGUCGGUAAUACUGAGAUCCGGAUUCAACAUAAUCCUCGUACUUCCGGUAACAUUGGUACAUCUCCACCUAUGUUCCUGUGAUAGCUCUAAUUUCACAAACUUGAUAAUACAUAUCACUGUGUUACGUGAACGAUGCUUCCAUAAGUCAUAGAACUCGACUGCAAGGUCACCCGUUAAACGACACUCUAGAUGGAUACACCUAAUUUUAAGAUUUGAAGAAGUCAUAAGACUUUAUAUUCUGGUUUAAAUCUUUAAAAGAAUAGUGACUUACUCAGUAUCACGUAAAUCAAAGUACAGCUCAAAAUAUCCUCCUUGAGAAUGUUCCACUGAAGGAACAAAAACCAACUCUCUCACGUUGACAAUUUUGCCAACAACAUCUAUGAAACACACACAUGAAUAAUACAGUCAGAACAUGAACCGCAAAUAAACUCCAAAAGCACAAAUAAAUUUACAAAUUAGGCUUACCAACGCAAAUAUUCGGAUUAACAAUACCACUCAAUAUACUCACAAACUCAGUUAGAUUGAAAUAGGUUCUACUGGAGCACAUAUUAAUACUUUGCACUAAAGUGUCCGAACGAAACACGAUCUUGAAUCUAUGCAGUACUGGUCUCAAUAUGCUGUUAACCCGUGAUACAUCAAAAUUUUUAAUGCUCACCCACUCAUCGAUUAUCAAUCUUGAAAGAUAAUUAUCAAUUAAUUCAUCACGAACAACGGCUUGGAUUUGGGUGAACUGCAAAUAAAACGUUAAAGACAAAACCAAUUCAAUUUAAUAUCGAAAACAUGUAUAGAAGGUAAGUUAUCAAAAAACUAACAUGCUCGUCACCCAAAAUCAUAUUGAGCUCUCUACCCGUGCCACGCGAAACAGACCAACAAUUCAAAAUCUUCACCGAGACAGACCACUCACCCAUGUUAGGGUUAAGAGACGCAAUACGAAAAUAACCACCAUCACAUGGAUCAGAGGUAAAAGGUAUCAUUGUAGAACGCAUAUAAAAAGAUUUCUACGUUUGUCAAUAGUUUUUUCGUGAGCUUGUAGAUAACCGUCAAUUUUGCUCCUUUUUCGUUAUCAUUGUUAUAGCCAAACUCAUCAAUCAUCAAACGAUUUCUAGGUUUAUAAAGAUCUCUUUCAUUAGACUGUAGAAAGCCGUCAAUUUUGGUUCUCUUGUUUUGUUUUCAUGAUUAUAGCCAAACACAUCAAUGAGCAAAUAAUUUCUACAUUUAUCAAGUUCUUUUUCAUGAGCUUGCAGAAAACCGUCAAUUUUGUUCAUUAUUUUUCGUUAUUAUAGUUAUAGUCAAACUCAUCAAUCUUCAAAUGAUUUCUAUGUUUAUCAAGUUCUCUUUCAUCGGAUUGCAGAAAGCCGUCAAUUUUGUAUCUCUUGUUUUGUUAUCAUGGUUAUAGCCACCAUCAUCAAUGAGCAAAUAAUUCUUACGUUUAUCAAGGGCUCUUUCAUUAAGUUGCAGAAACCCAUCAACUUUUUAUUUUUUAAUCAUGGUUAUAGCCAAACUCAUCAAUCAGCAAAUGAUAUUUAUGGUUAUCAAGGGCAUUUUUACAAAGUUGCAGAAAACUGUCAAUUUUACCUAUUUUCUGUUAUAAUGGUUAUAGCAAAACUUUUCAAUUAGCAAAUAAUUUAUACAUUUAUCAAGAGCUCUUUCAUCAAAUAGGAGAAAACCCUCAAUUUUGCUCUCUUGUUUUUCUGUUAUCCAGGUUAUAGCCAAACUCACCAUCAACAAUUGAUUUCUACGUUUAUCAAGAGCUUUUUCAUGAGGCUGCUUAAAACCUUCAUUUUUGCUCCUUGUUUUUUUUAUCAUGGUUAUAAACUCAUAAAUCAGAAAAUAAUUUCCACGUUUAUCAAAAGGUGCUUCAUUAGGCUGUAAAAAAACUGUUAGUUUCACUCUUUUUUUUGUUAUCAUGGUGAUAGCCUAUCUCAUCAAGCAGCAAAUGAUUUCUACGUUUAUCAAGAGCUCUUUCAUCAUUCUGUAAAAACUUAUCAAUUUUGCUCAUUUUCCGUUAUAAUGGUUAUAGCAAAACUUUUCAAUCAGCAAAUAAUUUCUACGUUUAUCAAGAGCUCUUUCAUGAGACUACAUAAAACCGUCAAAUCUUCUCCUCUCUUUUUGUUAUCAUGGUUAUAGCCAAACUCAUCAUCAGUAAAUGAUUUCUACGUUUGUCAAUAGUUUUUUCCUGAGCCUGCAGAAAACCGUCAAUUUUGCUCCUUUUUCGUUAUCAUUGUUAUAGCCAAACUCAUUAAUCAGCAAACGAUUGAUAGGUUUAUCAAGAUCUCUUUCAUUAGACUAUAGAAAGCAGUCAAUUCUGGUUCUCUUGUUUUGUUAUCAUGGUUAUAGUCAAACACAUCAAUGAGCAAAUAAUUUCUACAUUUAUCAAGUUCUUUUUCAUGAGCUUGUAGAAAACCGUCAAUUUUGUUCAUUAUUUUUCGUUAUUAUAAUUAUAGUCAAACUCAUCAAUCUGCAAAUGAUUUCUAUGUUUAUCAAGUUCUCUUUCAUCGGAUUGCAGAAAGCCAUCAAUUUUGUCUCUUUUGUUUUGUUAUCAUGGUUAUAGCAGCACUCAUCAAUGAACAAAUAAUUUUUACGUUUAUCAAGGGUUCUUUCAUUACGUUGAAGAAACCCAUCAACCCUUUUUUUUAUCAUGGUUAUAGCCAAACUCAUCAUCAGUAAAUGAUUUCUACGAUUGUCAAUAGUUUUUUCGUGAGACUGUAGAAAACUGUCAAUUUUGCUCCUUUUUCGUUAUCAUUGUUAUAGCCAAAAUCAUCAAUCAUCAAAUGAUUUCUAGAUUUAUAAAGGUCUUUUUCAUUAGACUAUAGAAAGCCGUCCAUUCUGGUUCUCUUGUUUUGUUAUCAUGGUUAUAGCUAAACACAUCAAUGAGCAAAUAAUUUCUACGUUUAUCAAGUUCUUUUUUUGAACUUGCAGAAAACCGUCAAUUUUGUUCAUUGUUUUCGUUAUUAUAUUUAUAGUCAAACUCAUCAAACUGCAAAUGAUUUAUAUUAUAGUCAAGUUCUCUUUCAUCGGAUUGAAGAAAGCCGUCAAUUUUGUCUCUCUUGUUUUGUUAUCAUGGUUAUAGCCACACUCAUCAAUGAGCAAAAAUUUUUACGUUUAUCAAGGGCUCUUUCAUUACGUUGCAGAAACCCAUCACCCUUUUUUUUUUAAUCAUGGUUAUAGCCAAACUCAUCAAUCAGCAAAUGAUAUUUAUGGUUAUUAAGGGCAUUAUUAUAAAGUUGAAGAAAACAGUCAAUUUUACCCAUUUUUCGUUAUAAUGGUUAUAGUAAAACUCUUCAAUUAGCAAAUAAUUUAUACAUUUAUCAAGAGCUCUUUCAUCAAAUAGGAGAAAACCAUCAAUUUUGCUUUCUUGUUUUUUGUUAUCCUGGUUAUAGCCAAACUCACCAUCAACAAAUGUUUUCUACGUUUAUCAAGAGCUUUUUCAUGAGGCCGCAUAAAAUUUUCAUUUUUGCUCUUCUUGUUUUUUUAUCAUGGUUAUAAACUCAUAAAUCAAAAAAUAAUUUCUACGUUUAUCAAUAGGUGUUUCAUUAGGCUAUAAAAAAACCGUUAGUUUCGCUCAUUUUUUUGUUAUCAUGGUUAUAGCCUAUCUCAUCACGGAGCAAAUAAUUUCUACGUAUAUCAAGAGCUCUUACAUCAUCCUGUAAAAACUUAUCAAUUUUGCUUAUUUCCUGUUAUAAUGGUUAUAGCAAAACUUUUCAAUCAGCAAACGAUUUCUACGUUUAUCAAGAGCUAUUUCAUGAAACUACAGAAAACCGUCAAAUCUUCUCCUCUUUUUUUGUUAUCAUGGUUAUAGCCAAACUCAUCAUCAGUAAAUGAUUUCUACGUUUGUCAAUAGUUUUUUCGUGAGCCUGCAGAAAACCGUCAAUUUUGCUCCUUUUUCGUUAUCAUUGUUAUAGCCAAACUCAUCAAUCAGCAAACGAUUUUUAGGUUUAUCAGGAUAUCUUUCAUUAGACAAUAGAAAGCCGUCAAUUCUGGUUAUCUUGUUUUGUUAUCAUGGUUAUAGCCAAACACAUCAAUGAGCAAAUAAUUUCUACGUUUAUCAAGUUCUUUUUUAUGAACUUGCACAAAACCGUCAAUUUUCUUCAUUGUUUUCGUUAUUAUAGUUAUAGUCAAACUCAUCAAUCUGCAAAUGAUUUCUAUGUUUAUCAAAUACACUUUCAUCGGAUUGCAGAAAGCCGUCAAUUUUGUCUCUCUUGUUUUGUUAUCAUGGUUAUAGCCACACUCAUCAAUGAGCAAAUAAUAUUUACGUUUAUCAAGGGCUCUUUCAUUACAGUGCAGAAACCCAUCAACUUUUUUUUUUAAAUCAUGGUUAUAGCCAAACUCAUCAAUCAGCAUAUGAUAUAUAUGGUUAUCAAGGGCAUUUUUAUAAAGUUGCAGGAAACUGUCAAUUUUACCCAUUUUCCGUUAUAAUUGUUAUAGCAAAACUCUUCAAGUAGCAAAUGAUUUAUACAUUUAUCAAGAGCUCUUUCAUCAAAUAGGAGAAAACCGUCAAUUUUGCUCUCUUUUUUUUGGUAUCCUGGUUAUAGCCAAACUCAUCAUCAACAAACAAUUUGUACGUUUAUCAAGAGCUUUUUCAUGAGGCUGCAUAAAACCAUCAUUUUUGCUCUUCUUGUUUUUUUAUCAUGGUUAUAAACUCAUAAUCAGAAAAUAAUNNNNNNNNNNNNNNNNNNNNNNNNNNNNNNNNNNNNNNNNNNNNNNNNNNNNNNNNNNNNNNNNNNNNNNNNNNNNNNNNNNNNNNNNNNNNNNNNNNNNNNNNNNNNNNNNNNNNNNNNNNNNNNNNNNNNNNNNNNNNNNNNNNNNNNNNNNNNNNNNNNNNNNNNNNNNNNNNNNNNNNNNNNNNNNNNNNNNNNNNNNNNNNNNNNNNNNNNNNNNNNNNNNNNNNNNNNNNNNNNNNNNNNNNNNNNNNNNNNNNNNNNNNNNNNNNNNNNNNNNNNNNNNNNNNNNNNNNNNNNNNNNNNNNNNNNNNNNNNNNNNNNNNNNNNNNNNNNNNNNNNNNNNNNNNNNNNNNNNNNNNNNNNNNNNNNNNNNNNNNNNNNNNNNNNNNNNNNNNNNNNNNNNNNNNNNNNNNNNNNNNNNNNNNNNNNNNNNNNNNNNNNNNNNNNNNNNNNNNNNNNNNNNNNNNNNNNNNNNNNNNNNNNNNNNNNNNNNNNNNNNNNNNNNNNNNNNNNNNNNNNNNNNNNNNNNNNNNNNNNNNNNNNNNNNNNNNNNNNNNNNNNNNNNNNNNNNNNNNNNNNNNNNNNNNNNNNNNNNNNNNNNNNNNNNNNNNNNNNNNNNNNNNNNNNNNNNNNNNNNNNNNNNNNNNNNNNNNNNNNNNNNNNNNNNNNNNNNNNNNNNNNNNNNNNNNNNNNNNNNNNNNNNNNNNNNNNNNNNNNNNNNNNNNNNNNNNNNNNNNNNNNNNNNNNNNNNNNNNNNNNNNNNNNNNNNNNNNNNNNNNNNNNNNNNNNNNNNNNNNNNNNNNNNNNNNNNNNNNNNNNNNNNNNNNNNNNNNNNNNNNNNNNNNNNNNNNNNNNNNNNNNNNNNNNNNNNNNNNNNNNNNNNNNNNNNNNNNNNNNNNNNNNNNNNNNNNNNNNNNNNNNNNNNNNNNNNNNNNNNNNNNNNNNNNNNNNNNNNNNNNNNNNNNNNNNNNNNNNNNNNNNNNNNNNNNNNNNNNNNNNNNNNNNNNNNNNNNNNNNNNNNNNNNNNNNNNNNNNNNNNNNNNNNNNNNNNNNNNNNNNNNNNNNNNNNNNNNNNNNNNNNNNNNNNNNNNNNNNNNNNNNNNNNNNNNNNNNNNNNNNNNNNNNNNNNNNNNNNNNNNNNNNNNNNNNNNNNNNNNNNNNNNNNNNNNNNNNNNNNNNNNNNNNNNNNNNNNNNNNNNNNNNNNNNNNNNNNNNNNNNNNNNNNNNNNNNNNNNNNNNNNNNNNNNNNNNNNNNNNNNNNNNNNNNNNNNNNNNNNNNNNNNNNNNNNNNNNNNNNNNNNNNNNNNNNNNNNNNNNNNNNNNNNNNNNNNNNNNNNNNNNNNNNNNNNNNNNNNNNNNNNNNNNNNNNNNNNNNNNNNNNNNNNNNNNNNNNNNNNNNNNNNNNNNNNNNNNNNNNNNNNNNNNNNNNNNNNNNNNNNNNNNNNNNNNNNNNNNNNNNNNNNNNNNNNNNNNNNNNNNNNNNNNNNNNNNNNNNNNNNNNNNNNNNNNNNNNNNNNNNNNNNNNNNNNNNNNNNNNNNNNNNNNNNNNNNNNNNNNNNNNNNNNNNNNNNNNNNNNNNNNNNNNNNNNNNNNNNNNNNNNNNNNNNNNNNNNNNNNNNNNNNNNNNNNNNNNNNNNNNNNNNNNNNNNNNNNNNNNNNNNUAAUUCUCUUGUUUUGUUAUCAUGUUUAUAGUCAAACACAUCAAUGAGCAAAUAAUUUCUACGUUUAUCAAGUUCUUUUUUAUGAACUUGCAGAAAAUCGUCAAUUUUGUUAAUUGUUUUCGUUAUUAUAGUUAUAGUCAAACUCAUCAAUCUGCAAAUGAUUUCUAAGUUUAUCAAAGUCUCUUUCAUCGGAUUGCAGAAAGCCGUCAAUUUUUUUCUCUCUUGUUUUGUUAUCAUGGUUAUAGCCACACUCAUCAGUGAGCAGAUAAUAUUUACGUUUAUCAAGGGCUCCUUCAUUACUUUAAAGAAACCCAUCAACAUAUUUAUUUUUAUCAUGGUUAUAACCAAACUCAUCAAUCAGCAAAUGAUAUUUAAGGUUAUCAUUGUUUAUAACCAACUCAUCAAUCAGCAAAUGAUUUCUACGUUUCUCAAAACCUCUUUCAACAGGCUGCAGAAAAUUGUCUAUUUUGCUCUUUUUUUUUUUUUAUCAAUGUUUUUACCAAACUCAUCAAUCAGCAAAUGAUUUAUUCGUUUAUCAAGAGCUAUUUUAUUACACAGCAGAAAACUGUCAAUUUUACUCUUCUUUUUUUGUUAUCAUGGCUAUUGCCAAACUCAUCAAUCAUCAAAUGAUUUCUAUAUUAAUAAAGAGCUCUUUCAUUAGGCUGCAAAAAAUCUUCAAUUUUGCUCUUUUUCCAUUAUAAAGGUUAUAACAAAAAUCUUCAAUCAACAAAUGAUUUUUACGUUUAUCGAGAGCUCUUUCAUCAGACUGUAAAAAACCGUCAAUUUUGUUCGUUUUUUUUGUUAUCAUGGUAUUACAUCAUCUGCAAAAAAUUUCUACUUUUAUCAGAAGAUUUUUCAUGAACCUCUAGAAAACUCCCGAUUUUGCUCUCUUUUUUUUAUCAUUGUUAUAGCUAAACUCAUCAAUAAGCAAAUGAUAUCUACGUUUAUCAAGGUCUCUUUCAUCGAAUUACAGAAAGCCAUCAAUUUUGUCUCUUUUGUUGUCUUAGCAUGGUUAUAGCCAAACUCAUCAAUCAGCGAAUGAUUUCUACAUUUAUCAAGAGUUUUUUCAUGAAGUUGUAGAAAACAGUCAACUUUGCUCCUCUUGUUUUUUUUUUAUCAUGGUUAUAGCCAAACGCAUAAAUAAGAAAAUAAUUUCUACGUUUAUCAAUAUUUCUUUCUCGAGGCUAAAAGAAACCGUCAAUUUUGCUCUUUUUUUUUGUAAUCAAGGUUAUAGCCAACUCAUCAAUCGGCAAAUGAUUUCUAAAAUUAUCAAGAGCUCUUUCAUCAAGCUGUAGAAAAGUGUCUAUUUUGCUCUCUUUUAUUGUUAUCAUUAUUAUAGCCAAACUCAUCAAUCAGCAAAUGAUUUAUACGUUUAUCAAGAGCUCUUUCAUUAGACAGUAGAAAACUGUCAAUUUUGCUCCUAUUUUUUUGUUAUCAUGGCUAUAACCAAACUCAUCAAUCAGCAAAUAAUUUCUAAGUUAAUCAAGAGCUCUUUCAUCAGGCUGUAGAAAACCUUCAAUUUUGCUCAUUUUCCGUUAUAAUGGUUAUUGCAAAACUCUCCAAUCAGCUAAUUACUGAUUUUUACGUUUAUCAAGAUCUCUUUCAUAAGAUUAUAGAAAGCCGUCAAUUUUGCUCCUUCUUUGUAUUUAUCAUGGUUAUAGCCAAACUCAUCAUCAGCAAAAGAUUUCUAAGUUUAUCAAGAGGUUUUUCGUGAGUCUACAGAAAACCAUCAAUCUUGCUCAUUCUUUUCGUUAUCAUUGUUAUAGCCCAACUCAUCAAUCAACAAAUAAUUUCUAUGUUAAUAAAGAUCUCUUUCAUCGGACUACAAAAAACCGUCCAUUUUGUCUAUGUUGUUCAGUUUUUAUUGUUAUAGCCAAACUCAUUAAUGAGAAAAUAAUUUAUACGUUUAUCAAGAGCUCUUUCAUUACACUGUAGAAAACAGUCACUUCUGCUCCUUUUGUUAUGUUAUCAUGGUUAUAGCCAAACUCAUCAACCAGUAAAUGAUUUCUACGUUUAUCAAGAUCUCUUUCAUCGAACUGCAGAAACCGUCAAUUUUGCCCCUUUUUUGUUAUAAUGGUUAUAGGAUAACUCUUCAAUCGGCAAACGAUUUAUACGUUUAUCAAGAUCUCUUUCAUAAGACUAUAGAAAGCCGUCAAUUUUGCUCCUUCUUUGUAUUUAUCAUGGUUAUAGCCAAACUAAUCAUCAGCAAAAGAUUUCUAAGUUUAUCAAGAGCUUUUUCGUGAGCCUACAGAAAACCAUCAAUCUUGCUCAUUCUUUUCGUUAUCAUUGUUAUAGCCCAACUCAUCAAUCAGCAAAUAAUUUCUAUGUUAAUCAAGAUCUCUUUCAUCGGACUACAAAAAACCGUCCAUUUUGUCUAUGUUGUUCAGUUAUCAUUGUUAUAACCAAACUCAUUAAUGAGCAAAUAAUUUAUACGUUUAUCAAGAGCUCUUUCAUUACACUGUAGAAAACAAUCAUUUCUGCUCCUUUUGUUAUGUUAUCAUGGUUAUAGCCAAACUCAUCAAUCAGCAAAUGAUUUCUACGUUUAUCAAGAUCUCUUUCAUCGAACUGCAGAAAACCGUCAAUUUUGCCCCUUUUUUUGUUAUAAUGGUUAUAGGAAAACUCUUCAAUCGGCAAAUGAUUUAUACGUUUAUCAAGAGCUCUUUCAUUAGACUUUAGAAAACCGUCAAUUUUGCUCCUUCUUUGUAUUUAUCAUGGUUAUAGCCAAACUCAUCAUCAGCAAAAGAUUUCUACGUUUAUCAAGAGCUUUUUCGUGAGCCUACAGAAAACCAUCAAUCUUGCUCAUUCUUUUUGUUAUCAUUGUUAUAGCCCAACUCAUCAAUCAGCAAAUAAUUUCUAUGUUAAUCAAGAUCUCUUUCAUCGGACUACAAAAAACCGUCCAUUUUGUCUAUGUUGUUCAGUUAUUAUUGUUAUAGCCAAACUCAUUAAUGAGCAAAUAAUUUAUACGUUUAUCAAGAGCUCUUUCAUUACACUGUAGAAAACAGUCACUUCUGCUCCUUUUGUUAUGUUAUCAUGGUUAUAGCCAAACUCAUCAAUCAGCAAAUGAUUUCUACGUUUAUCAAGAUCUCUUUCAUCGAACUGCAGAAAACCGUCAAUUUUGCCCCUUUUUUGUUAUAAUGGCUAUAGGAAAACUUUUCAAUCGGCAAACGAUUUAUACGUUUGUCAAGAUCUCUUUCAUAAGACUAUAGAAAGCCGUCAAUUUUGCUCCUUCUUUGUAUUUAUCAUGGUUAUAGCCAAACUCAUCAUCAGCAAAAGAUUUCUACGUUUAUCAAGAGCUUUUUCGUGAGCCUACAGAAAACCAUCAAUCUUGCUCAUUCUUUUCGUUAUCAAUGUUAUAGCCCAACUCAUCAAUCAGCAAAUAAUUUCUAUGUUAAUCAAGAUCUCUUUCAUCGGACUACAAAAAACCGUCCAUUUUGUCUAUGUUGUUCAGUUAUUAUUGUUAUAGCCAAACUCAUUAAUGAGCAAAUAAUUUAUACGUUUAUCAAGAGCUCUUUCAUUACACUGUAGAAAACAAUCAUUUCUGCUCCUUUUGUUAUGUUAUCAUGGUUAUAGCCAAACUCAUCAAUCAGCAAAUAAUUUCUACGUUUAUCAAGAUCUCUUUUAUCGAACUGCAGAAAACUGUCAAUUUUGCCCCUUUUUUUGUUAUAAUGGUUAUAGGAAAACUCUUCAAUCGGCAAACGAUUUAUAUGUUUAUCAAGAUCUCUUUCAUAAGACUAUAGAAAGCCGUCAAUUAUGCUCCUUCUUUGUAUUUAUCAUGGUUAUAGCCAAACUCAUCAUCAGCAAAAUAAACACACGUUUAUCUAUAUAGAAAUCAUAUUCCAAAAUAAUUCAAAACAAAGCUAAAAAGUGAUCUAAUUUACAUAUAUGCGGCAUGAGCAGUGUUAAUAAUACGAAUCAACUCUUAGUUCUGGCAACGCGAUCACUAAGUUUAAGAAAAUGGAAACAAUUUAAAUGCAAGGAGAAAGUUAUAUGAACCAAGAACUGGUUCUAGCAACAACCAUACGAAUCAACUCUUAGUUCUGGCAACUCUUAGUUUUGUUACGUACUUGUUUUCCACAAUACCAUGCAAAGAGUAGAACCCAUAAGAGAGAUUUCAGUUACUAAUGAGAAGGUAACUGAUGAAUUAAAUAUUAAGUUAGCUUUACCAUAUAUGUGAUUUCCAUCUGCCAUUUCUUAAUAUGUUUUCGUUUAAUCAAACUAGAAAUCUUAGUUCUCUCCUUACGAACAUAAAGAGACAAAUACAAAAACAAAAAGCGUAACAUGAUCCAGAUUUAGGAUACUCACAUUUUUUAUCAUAUGUCAAAAAGAGAAAAAAUGAAAACCUAAUUUUAAUAUCAAAUUAGUUAAAAUUUUUAAUUAAUAUCAAAUAAGAAAUAAAAGAAAGUUUACUUCAAUUUUAUUUAGAUGUUAAGGUUUAUGAUUUUGAGAAGGAGAAAGAGAAACUCUAGAGCUCUAAAGCGAUAGAGCAAAGUUGUUAAGUCUAUGAAAUAGAUCAAAGCAAAAAUGGAGAUAUGAAAUACACAUGACUAAGGUAAACAUAUGUAUAAACCAAAUCAUGAUGAAACCAUAAUGUUCUUUGAGAAGGAGAACCAAUGCCAAUGUUUUGUUAGAGUUUGCUAGUUAUAGAGAUACCGAAUAACAAAGAUGAGAUGAAACUAAAUCCAAGAAAAUAAAGAGUAAGAGAUAUAAAAUACCAUUUCUAUUUGCAUAUAAUUCUUACUUACGCAUAGAAUUUGUUUUUUGUUUUAUUAUAAAUCUUGACUUAGUCGUAUACAUACAUUAUGUUUAGUUACGUACAUAUAAAUGCAAUACUUUGCAUGAAAGGGAACCCUUAAAACUACUAAAGGGUAGAUAAUGAUAUGAAAUGAUGCCCCUACCACUAACACAAAAUAAAAUUCCCCAAGUUUUUUUUUUCAUUUGCCCUUGUUUACCACUCAAAGUCUAUCUCCAAAAUCGCAUUAAGGGUGAUUAAGACAAAUUAUCUCAACUUUUAAUCACAAUAUCCUUUGCCCCAACUUUGAAUAUGGUGCGUUUCUACUUGUACAAUAUAUAGAGAUCGACACAAUAUUGACUUAUAUAUCCCUAACGAUUACACUAUACAAAAAUCGAAUUAGAUUUUUAAGAGUAAUUUAUUAUGGGUGAUUAAGACAAAUUAUUGCCUCCUUGCCCCAACUUUGAAUAUUAUGCGUUUUCACUUGUCAAAUAUAUAUCUACUAAAUUAUACUAAAAAUCUUGAAAAAUUAUGGAUAACGAUGACCGAGAAAAAAAGUAUGAACUAUAUGCGACUAUGUUAUUCUUUUAUACCGAAAUUUGUUUAGGUUAGUGAAGCCAUCUUUUUUUUUUUGGUGAGAUGGUUGAUGAAGUCAUUAAAAACACUUUAACAUAUAAUUUUGACUUAGAUAUACACUUAGGAUAUGGUUUUAAAAAAUCUAGUAUAUGAUAUGUAAAAAGUAUGCUUCAUGUUAGACGAUGUUAUAAUAAGAUAACCAAAAAAUUUCGUAUUUUCUAUAAGAAAUAAAAACAUCAUUUUUCUGUUCAUAUUUAAAAUGAGACUAUUAGAUAAAAAUAUUUUAUCAUCUUUUAGAUGAGUUUUUAGGUUGAUUCAUCCUCUGUAAGCUUCAAGAGCUGAUGAAGAUCAUAGUGGUAAAGUUUAACAUUUUGUUUGAUUCCUUACUUAAAUUUUGUUUUGCCAAAAUCACUAUAAAAAUAUGAAUUGGUUUUAGUUGCGAUAAAAUAUAAAACUCAAAACUCUUUUUGUUACAAAUAAAGAUAAAUCUCACAUACCAAAAAGAUUUAAGAGGUCAAAUGUCGAUGGAUACAUAUAAAAAACAAUUAUAAAUUUUGAAAUUAUUCGAUCUACUUUUCAACAAUAAAUUUUUUUAUAUUAAUCUUAUUAUUUUAGAUACAACUAAACACGAGUAAAUAAUCAUAACAAAAAAAACUUACUUAUCUCAAAAUAUCCGAUUGAGACACAUAUCAAUCCGAGUACUUUCGAUCGAGAUAGAUACCAAUCCGGGUACUUUAAUAUCAUAUGUAUUCAUUUAAUUUAAACUAUACUUUUACUACACAAACUCAGCAUUUUUUUCACAAAACAUGUGAUAUUUCCAUAUUUUAAUAUCAUAAAGGCAAGUUAAACCAUUAUCUUUUUAAUGAAUAAAUAAUAUAAAUAUGAAUCUAGCCAUAUAAUUUUUUUUUGUUCUCGAAGGAAUAACCUAAAAAACAAUCAAUAUUUACACCUUGUUAUUUCUUUUCCAAUUUAAACCACAUUUUUAAUAAUAAAAAUAAAAUCGAAAUAACUUUAUAUGUUUUUUUUAGACAGACGAAAAAUUAUAUUUAGGACUAUCAUAUUCCCUAUAAAAAAUAAUAUAAUUUUAUUUUUAUUUAUAAAAUAGAUAAAAUAUUAGAAAAAGGAAUUGAUAAUCACUACACCUUGUUUAACAUAUCUUAUGUUACAAAAACAAUUAAGAAUUAGAUUGAGAUUGAUGUUAAAUUUUUUAAAAAGAUGUGAUAAUUUCUUGAAUAUGGAGAAGGACGAAAAGAAAAGUAGCAUAUAUUAUCACAAGAUAUUAUACGUUAUUAUUAGUACAUCUUAAAACAUUAAACAAAAAUACCAAUAAAUCUCUUAAACAAAAUACAGUUAUACAUAAUAAAGAAGUAAAGAACCUAUCCAUGUAACGAAUGUAUUUGUGCCGAUGGACUCCAUCUUCUGAAUGGUGACUGGUACCAACAAAAUCUGUAUCCCAACAUCUUUCAAUACGGUUCUCCAAGUUGAGAACAUAAAUGGAGACCCAAUUUUGUUAAUAACAUAUCAUUAAACAUUUUUUUAAAAAAAUAGAACUAAAGGGAGAUUACUUAUACAAAUAAGAUCGGACAUGCCUUCAUCCUUUACAACAACAAAUAUUUUAAUAUAAAUAUUAGUUUGUUGAAUCUAACUCUCUAGGUUUUUUUUUUGAUAAAAACUCUCAAUUUUUUAAUUACUGAUUUUGGAACAACAGAAUUGAUAACUAUGCAAGAAAGCUACCAAACCAUUUGAAACACAAUAUAGUUUGUUGCGAGCUUACCGUCUUAGACGAUGAAAUUAAAUCGUAUAUGGCGCUUAUAGUUCGUGGUAUGUUACGAAAACAUUGCAACACCAAUAUAAAUUAUACAUCCACAAGAACAACAUAUAUAUUAUAAGUCAACAAUAUACAUAUAUACAUAUAUAAAAAUAUAUAUAUAUAUAUAUAUAUAUAUAUAUAUAUAUAUAUUAUAAAGCACAAUAACGUAAAACAAAACAAACAUAGAGUACUAUAAAAGUGACCAGGCUUAUGAAAUUCUAAACACUGGACAUACAACAAAUCAAACAGUAUCGUUUCCAUCUCCCUUCGCCACCAUGGAACCCCUUCUUCUUGUUGGAUUGCUAGUGGACUUAACCCAAGUAGUACUCAUAUGGUUGGGAUGCAAGAGCUCGUCGUAUUCACCAACUCAAGUGGCCAAUGCCAGGCCUAUACAUCUUCCGUGAGUUGCUACGACACGCAACUCAUGUGGUAAUCUUAGCUUCCUUGUGAAUCGCGUCUCCGAGACUCUGAUCAAUGUCGAAGCUACCAUCUACGCAACUCUUGAGUUGCCAUUGAAUUUGAGCACGGCCAACCAACUUUGGCAGGUGGGAACUGUUGUUAAUGGUGUUCAUUCGAGGAAUCAAAUGACAGGAGAUAAUAUGAGAUCGAGUGGUUGGACUGAUAUUCGAACAUGUCAUAUAAAAGACUCCAUUGACCACAUACCUUUGUGCUCCAUUAAUCAAAGAGCUGAGUCGAGAAAACAAUCAAUUUUGUUGGAGUGAUAUUUCCGUAGUGGAAUUAUUCUCGAGGGUUUGGUCUUCCUGAUACAUGCAAAUAAAAAAGAAGCAAAUCUCUUGUUUUUAUUUAUGAAAUUUGACUUUUGUUUUGCUUCUCUGGCCUUCUCUUGUCGAAGAUUAAAAAAAAAAAGCAAUACCAUUUUUUUCAAAUAAGUCUUCUAUGAGACAAUGUCAUAAACUUGUUUCCUCUCUCGUGCAAUAACUAAAUUACGGUUUCAAAUUACUCUGAAAUUGACUUUUGGGUUUCCGAAUAGUCUCCAGCGUUCUACACGAUGAUUCCUCCUUUAUAAUAUGGUAUUAAAGGGAUCUCUAAACACUGCACCAAACAAAAAUAUAAGUAAUUUAAUAAAAAAAAUUAUACUAAAGAUUUAGGAGACAAUAUAAUUGAGUUACAGGACAGUAAACAAAAUAUGCAUACGAAAAAAUUACCAAAUACAAAAUAUAGUUAGAUUAGAGAAUACUUUUAUAUAGGAUGAAACAAACCACAAUAUUUUCUAAAAAACUUUUAUUCAUUAAACAAAUAUGUUCGACUAAAAAGAGAGAGAGGCUAACCUGUUUUGUUCAUGAAGAUAUAUAAGUAUCUACAAUACCUGCUUAAAGAUGACAUCCAAGUUGGUGUUCCAGCUAGCAUCUGAUUUGUAACGAAAAUAUUGUAACCCUAAUAUGAAUUAUAAAUUCAUAAUGAAAAAAAAAAAGAGAUUGUUAGUGCAUGAAAGAUAGAAGAUCACCUGUCAAUCGGUUGCAGACGGAUCUGAACUUUGCAUCUAUAGAUUCACUUGCUUCCACAUACCCAAUCUGCGAUAAUUACACAGGUAAAAAAUAUUAAUAUUGCUAUAAAACGGUUUAAAUUAUCAAGGAAAGCAAAAAUCAUAACAACAUGAUAAAAAUUUUGAUUUAGAGAAACCAAAAAGACCAAAAAAAAAAUUACGAAAACAAACAUCCAGAAAACUGCCAAAUAAAAUGUGUCCCAAACCGAAAUAUCACAAGUACCACCUUGUCCCGGACCAUCGCAAGGAAAACUAAAAUAUACAAACCAAAACUAUAGAAGUACCUUUCCAAACCUCGUUUUCUUCUCGUCAACACCACCUUCGUCCGAAAGCUUUGUCGAUGGAACCUCUCACGUUCUACAAAACUGAAACACCUACCAAAAGAAUCAUAUCAGUAAAACAAUAAAUCAACGAACUAAUGCAAAAAAUAAAACAAACAACACAAACAAUAUGCACAAGACCUCUAAAGGUAAAUGAAAACAAUAUUUGCAUGACAAACAAUUUGAUUCAUCAGAAUCGUAGUUGUAUAACAAAACCAUAACGGUGAAAACUAUAUAAUGGGCACAGAAAAAAUAAUACAUAAUUCUCUGGCCGAUCAACAAUAUAUAUAGCUUUAAGAUUAGGGCAAACAUCAAUCAUUAUCUUAAGAAAUUUAACUUUUUAAUUAGAAACUAAAUCAGAAAACUAACAAAAACUAAUAUUAACUACUAAGAUAUAGAAUUAUCCAAAAAAUUAACAAAUAAAUUUAAGCUAAGAUUCCAUAAUACUUAAAGUCGAGACAUUAUGACAUUCGUAUCCCAAACGAUUACACUAUAUUAAAAAAAUUAAGGGUGAUUAAGACUAAUCAUCUCAAAACACGAUUAGACUUAUAUACCCCUAACAAUUAAGAACAAAAAAUCUCGACAUCGAGGGUGUUUAGGACAUUAUUAUAGAGAUCAACAUACGAUUAGACUUAUAUACCCCUAAUUACGAAGAAGAAGAAAUUUCGAGAAGAACAAUUCAUUAAGGGUGUUUAGGACAAAUCAUUCUGACGUUUAAUCACUUUGAAUAUGGUGUAGAAUUACUUGUCAAAUAAUUAUCGUAGAGAUGGCAACACUCAAUAUUAUUGUUUUCGAUAUAAAACCUAACAAAUCCAAGUAAUACAAUAUCUUCUUGUAAUCGUGUACUUAACAAAUCAAAAAAUACAAUAUAUCAAAGUAUAUUUGCUACACAACAGUGCAACAAAUCAUAAUAAUGUAAAUCUACAAAGCAUCAAAUAUACAUAUCUAUCUUGGCAAUUUUUUUUUAAUUUGUUACCAUAUGAUAGAAUACAAACCGUACAACAUAGGCCAAAGGAAAGAGAACUACAAAUGUCUCAUAGCCUAAUUGUAUUUAAUCCUAGUUGUACAAUAGAGAGAAUUUCACAUCGUUCCCAAUCCAACCACAUAGCUCACAAUCACAGGAUUAAGUCAGUCUCGUGAGAAAUAAUUAUGCUUUUUCUGUCCCUUUAAGAGCAUUGUCCCUUGUUACUGUUCUUCUUCCUCGCCUCCUCAUUCUCCUUACGCAAGCCGUUCAUCUAUUCUUCAAGGACGUUUACUCUAUAUCUACCUUGAUCAUUUCAAGGCUUUUGCGUCUCUCUGAGAGCAACCAUCCCGUCCUUCUAAUUCAGCAGGUCGUUGAUCAUCUUGGUGGGAGAGCUUGUAGGCACCAUUUUAGCAACUGGCUCUUCCUCGAGAAUCACCAACAUGCUCUUCUUCUUCUCCUCCUUCAUGAAAGAUCUUGGUAUAUGGUACCUGUCCACCAUAUAUAGAUGGGUUUAGUCUCAAAUCAGUUUUUUGUCCUGCAAGUCAUAUUUCUAAAAACCUACUCCGUUUGAAUUGGCUCUCCGAGUGGAGAAACGAAUGACAUCCAGUAUCUCCCUACGCCAAUUCCAUUAACCCAAAUCAAUCCCUUUCCCAUUCCUUUCAUCCUAAUGGCGACCGCGUUCUCUCCUUCUGGUGUCUCAAAGUAGGUCUGCGAAUCCAUUUAUUACGACAAAUCUGUAAACAUCACAAGAAACGUUUUAUUGAGUUAUAUGUUUACCUUGUACCACGUAAGAGGCUUAUGUUCACCAUAUUUCUCCCAUUUCACCUUCUUAGAUCCUUCCUCUGUGUACACCUAUUUCUUUUCACCUUCCAAACCGGCCUGCAUUAACCGGAUUAAUCUUCAUUAUAUCCCAAACCAAUAAUAAAAUUGGUCUAUUAUAUUGGUCAGAUGCACAUAAAUACCAAAUGUCCCCAUUCAUUGUUCUCUAUCAAAUCUCGCGUUCCUGACUUUAAACCGAUGAUUGAAACGCCACGUGGACCGGCAUACGUGUGUUCCAUGUAUGAUCCACUGUCCUGAAAGAUUAGAACUAAUUUAUACUUUGUUUGGUGUGACAUAUAUAAUCUCGAUCUUGACUGUUUCUAACUCACUGGUAAUCCGGUUAGUACACCCAAAAUUGAAAUACAAUUAUCUCUGGUUCUUAAGUUAACUGGUUUUGCAAACACGAAACUUUCAUUUCAUGGCUUCCAUGCGCAUUACCUACAACAAAAAUAUAGCAAACAUAAAACUCUCUCUGUGUGUCUUAUAUCCCCUCAAAUGACUGUUUAAGUACUUGCGUAUUCUCCAUUAACGUAAACGAUUAAUGCGUGACCAAGACCCGCUACUCUCAGUAUCGUCUUCUGACCUUUCUGGUCUGGUAUGUCAUCAUCUUCAAUCUUUAUGCUGUAGCCAUGGAAUCAACUCAAAAAUUAAGUCUCUCUAUAAAGCUUAAAAGACCAAAAAAGGAAAUGUUGCUUGUGAAGGAAGUUAGUUACCUUGUGGUAUACCAAGCAUAAUCUGUUUUGUCCUUAGUUAAGUAAUAAAGCUCCCCCAGAAUCAAGGAAUCACCGUCGAGUAUGGAAGGAAUAUCUUCACUAAACAUCUCAAAUUUGAGACCUUUGCUUGUCUUCUCGGACUUGACAUCUCAAAUCCACUGAACGUAAAACCAUUAAUUAUUUCUAUAAGAAAACUAUUACUUAUUUUGCUAUGAAACCAGCAUGCUAUCUUGAAACGUAAUCAACUGAUCAUUAAAUUACAAAACUAAGAACAAACCCAAAAAAAAACUAAACACAACAACUAAUAAUACCUUAACAGUUUUUUUUUGUUUCUUCAUCAACUCGUCCGUCCGAACAUGGUUUUGAUUGAGGAUCCCAUGAUCCGUAAACCUAAAACACCAACCAAGCAACCCAAAUUUAGUAAAACAAUAUUGAUAGAAAAUCCGUAGAACAACAAACAAAAUCUCAUCAAAUAUAAAAAAUGGAAUCUCAAGUCUCUAUCUAAAGACUUAUGAUGUUUUAAGCCGUUUUCCUUCCACCAAAACAUAAGCCAAUCCAAUCUUUUGUCUUAAGGAUUGUUUUUUCGAAUCUCAAGUCUUUGUCUAAAGACUUAUGGUGUUAAAAGCCGUGGGUAACUGUUUCUUUGUCUAAAAACUGAAAGACCAAAUCGAACAUGAUCCAUGUCUAGAGAUUUUCAAGUCGUGGGUAACACAAGGGAUCAAUGUUCGAAUCAGUCUCAGUUUAAAGACUAAUGUUUGAAGCCGUAGGUACCAUUUUCCUUCCACCAAACAUAAGUCUAUCUCAGUCUCUGUCUAAAGACUAAUGUUUUGAGCCGUGGGUACCAUUUUCCUUCCACCAAACAUAAGUAAAUCUUAUUCUCUGUCUAAAGACUAAUGUUUUAAGCUGUGGGUACCAUUUUCCUUCUACCAAACAUAAGCCAAUCUCAGUCUCUGUCUAAAGACUAAUGUUCUAAGCCGUAGGUACCAUUUUCCUUCUACCAAACAUAAGCCAAUAUCAGUCUCUGGUCUAAAGACUGAUGAUGUUUAAGCCAUGGGUACUGUCUCUUUGUCUAAAAACUGAAAGAACAAAACGAACAUGAUCCAUGUCUAGAGAUUUUCAAGCCGUGGGUACCAUGAAGGAUCAAUGGUCGAAUCACCCUCAGUCUAAAGACUAAUGUUUGAAGCCGUGGGUACCAUUUUCCUUCCACCAAACAUAACCCAAUCCAAUAUUUUGUCUAAAUAAUUCGUUUUCCGAAUCUCAGUCUCUGUCUAAAGACUGAUGAUGUUUUAAGCCGUGGGUAACUUGAUCUUUGACCAGUAAACUGAAACCAAUCCCAAGUAUAUAUGUCGAAAUAAUAAGCCGUGGAUAAAGGAUCGGUUUUCAGUCUCAGGUCAAAAUUUCCCAUAAGCCAUGGGUCCAAACUCGACGGGACAAUGUGCCAAAGAAAGAUUCUAACAAAACACUAAUAAUUGAGUGUCUGCCUAUGAUCUCUCUUGGGUUCGAAUGAAAAACAAAAUAAGAAAGAAAUCAAACAAAACAGAAAAACACAAGCAAUAAACCACAACUGAUCGCAACAAUUUCAUGCUUAUCAAAUUAUGCAAAGCGCUACAGAAAAAAAAAAAAAAAAAAAAAACACGAACCAAAAACAAAAUCAAUUAAAACUAAAAAAAAAGAAGAAGAAAGAACUUGUAAUUCACAGAAGAAAACAAAACUUUGAAACACGAAUUUUUCGGUUGUGCAAAUAUCAAAAGCCUCUUCAAAACGAAAAAAAAAAAAAAACCAAAAGAAAAAACGAAAACAUUAUAAUAGUGAAAUUUAGAAAUCCUAGAAAUCAAGAGGAUUUGAAGAAUUCUUACAGUAAUAAUCGCUACAAAUCUUCCUCAAUCUUGAAUGAUUACAAUCGAGAGAAAUAUGCGAAACAAAGAAAAAACUUAUAAUAGUGAAAUCUAAAAACCCUAGAAAUCAAGAGAAUUGGAAGAUUAUUGCUUCAAAUCAUCUUCCGUCAUAAAAUAUCGAUCGAGAGAAAUAUGCUAAUUAGAGAAAGAAGAAGCAAAACAAAAUCUGAGAAAAUUAUGAGUCUCUCUGGUAAGCUGUGUAGAUGGAAGCAAAGAAAAUCAGUAAAUUUAUAAGGGUCUAUAAUGUAAGGAGCAGAAACAUGAAAGUAUAUAUGAUUACAUGUCUAUUCAUUCGUAAUAAAUAUUACCUAGAGAUUCCGAGAUUGAAGAUCUCCUUAGCAGUUUUCACCUUCUUCUUAAACUCCCAUGUGCAAAGCAUAAGCUAUGUAGUAGACAGCAUGUGUCUUAUCAAUCUCAUUGAUCUCCAAAAACUUGUAAAUCACUUUCGCAUCAGCGCAAUGCUCCGCCAUCAAAAACACAAAAAUUAUGAGUAACAUUGACAAAAAAAAAAUUAUUUCGUUAUGUAGUGCAUGGUAAAAAAAUAUUUUACAUCAGAUCCGAUGAGAGACAACUAUCAAUAAUUAAACCAACACAAAUUAUAAAAUUGUAAGUAAUUUACAAAGAGACAUAAGAGAAACGCUAACUAAAAUUAAAGAGGACUCACGAUUGAUGUAAAAAGUUUGUUAAUGAAUUUAAUGAAGAGGCAUGUCUUCAUCAACUCGUUCAUUCAAUCUCUUGAUAGAAACUCCCAUGAGCGGUUACCUAAAACAUAAUUCACACGAUACAAAUCAGCAAAACAAUAACAAUCUUGAUAAUUCAUAGACCAAGAUAAUAACAAUACAAAUAUAACCUCAAGAAAAGGUAAAAAAUAAUAACGCAAAAUAAAUCGAUCCAUAAAAGAACCAAAGCAACAAAAAAAAAGCUAUAAUAUCAAAACGAUAUGUUUAGGCUAACGAAUCUGAGUUCUAAUGGUGUGGUUGCGGCUCUAUAUUUAUAGUUUAAUAUCUAGGGCACACCGUCAUAAUUAUCUCUAAAAAUUUAUUUUUUAAAAUUGGAAAAUUUCUUGAUAAAAAUAUUCGUAAUAUAUUUUAGUAUCUAUCUUAAAUUUUUAUAAAAAUUAAAAAACAAAAUAUUCUAUAUUUUAAUAUUUAAAAACGAAAUAUUCUAUAUUUUAAUAUUAAAAAACAAAAUAUUCCAUAUUUUAAUAAAAUUCACACGAUUUUAUUGUUUUACCCUCACCAAAAAAUAGAAAACUGGAUUUGAUAGUGUAUUCAUUAAGGGUGAUUAAGACUAAUCAUCACAAAACACGAUUAGACUUUUAUACCCUUAACAACUAAGAACAAAAAUUUUCGAAUUGAGGGUGUUUAGGACAUUAUUAUAGAGAUCAACACACGAUUAGACUUAUAUACCCCUAAUUACGAAGAAGGAGAAAUUUCGAGAAGAACAAUUCAUUAAGGGUGUUUAGGACAAAUCAUUCUAACUUUUAACCACAGGCCUCCAAUGCCCUAACUUUCAAUAUAGUGCGUUUCUACUUCUCAAAUAAUUAUUGUAGAGAUUAACUCUUGGAGUGUUUGGUUUCUAGAGAUCUUUAGGCCAUCUUUAUCGGGCAUCUGACUUCUAAGAUCUUAAGACAUAUUAAUAAUAUAAUAAUGGAGAGAGAGACGAGAGUUAAUUGAUGAGAGAGACAAAACACUUUGACCGAAAUCAAUUUUCCCAACAAAACAAAAAGAUUUUUCAUUAUUCAAAAUUCGUAUCCACUCAAGAAGUGACACGUGGCGCUGGGACCUUUGCUACAACACUUCUUCGGCAAGACCUGAAGCUUGCCUCUCACCAUACUAUUUGAUUAUUUUUUCUUUUUUUUUUUAAUCUAAGACCAUGAGUGUGUGUUACACAUGGUCUUAGGGAGUUUCACUGGUGCGUACAACUUGAAUAUUGUGCCUAUAUAUUGCACCUUUUGUGUGUAUUGUGAAGAUUAAUACUGUUGAUCCCUUUAAUGUUCCUAUGAACACAAAUACUCUUGGAAUUCUUGUAAAUAUAGAUAUUAGCUUCAUCUUUAUUGAAUUGGCUUGUGAAAGCUCAACUAUUCAUCUAUGAUCAAUAGUUGUAUACAUUUGAUAAGUUUCCGCAUAUUCCCUUUACAUGCUUAUGUUGAAUUUCCUAGGUAAAUUAGCUCCAUGUAAUUUUGCAUCCUAAAUAUUUUUAUGGUGAAUGAAUAAGAAUGGUUUUUAUCUCAAUCGACAGGAUUUAGAAAAUGCGCUAAUACAUGGAGUCUUAGCUCAACGCAAGGUUCUCAUCAUUCUCUUUCAAAAUAUGAACAAGUGAAGAAUGAUGAGAACUGUGCAUCACAUUAGUCUUCAGGCAUGAAACAUACCGAUUAGUCUAAAGAACCGUGCAUUUUUUGUAGAUGAAAAAAACGGCGGAAAGAAAAAAAGAGGAGUGAUGUCUUUCAUACACCAAACAAACCGAUUAUUCGUUAAAAUCCAUAUUUUUCUAGCACCAAAUAUAUGUAAAGAACCAAUUAUCGUGUAUAAAGACUUUUACAAUUUUUUUAUUCAAUUCCAUAAGAUAACCUCAAAAGUUUUGGAUGUAGUAAAAAAAAAUUAGAGAUUAAUAUAACCAAAAAACAAAAAAAAUAAUGGAAUCUUAUUUUAUUAAUUUUUCUGAUAAAUAUGUAGAGUAUAACAAAAUCUUCUACUCUAAAUUCUGAAAUAUUUGGAUUGAUGUUCAAUAUAUAUUAUUUUACAAUUACAAAUGAUAAUUUUUUCAUUCUCCCUACCAAGCAUUGAAAUAAAAAAUCUCAAGAACCAAAAAAAAAAAAAAAAAACUACUCAACACUGGUCCAUUAUACGCCCAAUAUGUAAAACGAUGACGUAACUACUAAAUUUACAGAUCCAAAGUCUUAAAACUCGGAAGGUUCCGUCUAGGGUUUAAACUUACUAAACGACGUUCGAAGAAUUUGUGAGCCAGUAGAAGCCGCCGGUCUAAGUUAAAGUUCGUUUGGUAAAUUUUAGUUUCCCUCCUAAGUUUUCACUCUAAAUUUUUGAAUCUUUCCUUCCUCUCGACGGACCUGAUAAUGUAUAGAGACAGGUCACAUAACAAUGAUUGGUUUACUAUUUUUUUUAGAUAUAAUUAUUCGUUACAAUCCAUAUUUUUCUAUAACGAGAUAUAUGUAAAGAACCAAUUAUCGCGUCUAAAAUCUUUCACAAUUUUUUUAUUUAAUUCGAUAACAUCAAAAACUUUGGAUGUAGUAGAAAAAAUAUUAGAGAUGAAUCCAACCAAAAAAAAUACUGGAAUCAUAUUUUUUUUUUUUUUGAUAUAUAUGUAUAACAAAACAUUCUACUCAACUUCUCAAAAUUUUAGAUUGAUGUUCAAUAUAUAUUAUUUUACAAUUAGAAAUGAUAAUAUUUUCACUCAACCCACCAACCAUUGAAAUAAAAAAUCUCAGGGAACAAAAAAAAAAAAAAACUACUCACAAUUGGCCCAUUGUAAGCCCAAAAUAUAAAAUGACGACGUAACUACUAAAUUUGCAGAUCUAAAGUCUUAAAACUCAGAAGAUUCCGUCUCGGGUUUAAACUUAAUAGGGAGGUUUGCACAGUAACAUAUUUUUUUCAUGUUUCUACUCACAAAACAUACUUUCUAUAACUCAUAAACUACUUUUCUAUUUCUUCUCAUACUUUUAGGAUAAUUUUACCCUUGUAACACAAACAAAGUUUUCUCGUUCUUUAUUCUCUCUCAAGAACUCAUUUAUUUUGUUUAUCUCUUAUCUGUCUCUUUCUCUUUUCUCUCACUUCCUCUUCCAGCAAAAACUAAAUAAUUUUUAUCUCAUUUUUUCUCAUCAAUCUCUCGUAUCUCUCUUUCUUUUUUCUUCCACUUUCUCUCCUAACAUCAUCGAAACCAUUGAAAUCCAGAAAAAAAAAAAGAAGUUUGUUUCAAUAAUUGUGAUAAUCUUCAUUAAGUGUAAAUGGUGAUACAAAACAAGCUUAAAUACAAGCUAAACUAAACCAAAUAUACUAACCAAUCUAAACCAUAACUAAACCAACUAUAUACACUCUAAUACUCCCCCUCAAGAUGAAAGGCACUUUCAUCUUGGACUUGAAAACUCCAUGAAUAUGUGUCCUCCACAACUUUCUAAGUAAGAGCAGCAUCAAUGGACAUGAAUAUACAUGGCUUGAAACUGAUAAACAUAAUGAGCUUCUGGUGGUCUUGGUCUUGAGGCGCUCUUGUCCAAUAAAGCUAGUAAGCUACCAUCACCAUUAAGCAACAAGAUUAGAUGUCUCUUGAAUAACCAGUCCACAAUGAUCACUGUCAGCUCCCCCUGUCUUGGAACACAGCUUGAUGAUUAACAAGAACCCAUCUUAUAAGAUGCAGAGCUGAAGCAGGAAACAACAGCAGCAAAAAACUGCAAACCAAACUCAUUUUCUGAGAGGUAGAAUCCAUGACUGGGAUAUCCUUUUGUUCAAUAACAAUGGAGUCUCUGAACAUCUUGUAAGUUCCAGAAAUAACAUAAUUUGGAGUCAAAACGGAACAUGGUCCAGAACAUCAACAAAUUGAAAUCUUCUUUCCAUUCUUCGUAUAUGUGAUGGAAUGUGAGAAUUAAACAUGGCAGGGUAAAACCAAUCCAACAAGAGACAUCAAUAUAUCAAACCCUUGAAGUCCAUGUCCUAAGCUCAUUAAAAGAAACUCCAUCUUUUGUUUUCACAAGAAAGCUCAAUAACAGCAACAACGACAUCCAACUGAACGAAUCGCGUUGCAGCAGAGACCAACAACAUCACAAAACACCCAAUUGGUGGCUUGACAACAAGACUUAAGCUUCUGUGACUAGAAACCAUUUAUCCGAGAAGCACUCUCUUUAAAACAACUUGAAUCCACGUGUGAGUAUGAAAACAUGAUUUCUUGUGCACACUAGCAAGCUCUCACCAAUUCCAUAUGCAAGAUUCUGGCUAAGACUCGCUAAUAUUAGCUCUUCCUCUCUACGUACAAAACUAGCUUCCAAAGUUCUCCAUACCACAAUAACUACAACAUCACAGAGAUUUCCACAGCCUACAUAUCUAUAGAUCGAGUUCAGAAGUAUACAUACGGCAUUAAAUGGAACGUCCGGCGGCCUUGGAAGUGAACCAAAGAAGAGCAUCAACACUAUCGCUAAAUGCAACCAUGAAGUGUCUCUACACAGCUUAUCGUCAACAAGAUACACUUCUUGUGGAACAACAGAAGGCACAACAAUAUAAGGCAUCGACGAGGGAGAAUCCAUCACAUAUAUAGAUUCAAAGAUCAAACUGCAGACAUGUAACCAAAUCUCAAAUUCAUGGACUGAAAACGGAGAAGCUCAAAACGAGAACGUCAAGAUCAAUCUAGGAGCUGAGGCAGUUAAAUCGGAGAAGAGAUUAUGAAAUUGAAGCUCAGAUUAAGGAAUUCGAAGCUCGCUUUUGAUGAAACGGAGCUCGAUUAGAAAAGAAACGCGAUCAAUUUUGAUGAAUCGAUCGGAUAAUGAAGGAUCAACUCUGAUCUAGAAGAAAUAGUCGAUUGCGACUAAGAUAAACGCGAUCAACUUGAUCGGAAUGAAAACGAAGAACAAUGAACAUGAUAUAACAGAAGCGCGAUCGAUGUGAUGAAACGAUCGGAAGAAAAACAGAUAAAAAUGGAUGAUAACACGAUCAACUAUGAUCGGAAAAAAAUGAACACGAUCAGCUUUGAUCGGAAACAAAAAAAAAUAGAUGAAAGAAAAAGAUAACAACCGGAAUCGAAACAAGAUUUCUCCGGUGAAGAAACACAAUCAACCAAACUGAAUACUUCGAUCGGAGAAGAAACAGAUCGAAGAAACAAAUCGGAGAACACGAUGGAUUGAUCGGAAAAAUCAACCAAUCGGAAAAAUCAAACGAUCAAUCGAAACGAAAUUGAUCGGAGAAACUGAAUCUCCAAGCAAAUCGAGUGAAGAAUCGAAAAAAACGACAACAAAAAAUCAGAGAAUCGAAUUAAGUGGAAGAAGUGAAUGAAGUUUAUAUUCAGUCACUCUUUGUUUUUUUUGACACCGGAGUAUCAAGUUCCACGAUUUCUAUCUUAAUUGGUCCAGUUUGGUUGUGUACAUGAACAUCCAUGGCUUGCUCCUUAACCCAUGUUUAUUGCAGGUGAAGAUUCUUUCAAGAAAGGGACACUAACAUUAAUACUUGUGUAAUGUUCUCCUUGCACAACAAGAGAUGUAUGGGUAAAACAUAUAAAACUUUAGCCAAUCUAG
This 54859-nucleotide long non-coding RNA is filed under the name Arabidopsis lyrata. RNAcentral's name for it is "long non-coding RNA (ALYR_LNC002697)". The record is from RNAcentral. Lineage: Eukaryota; Viridiplantae; Streptophyta; Magnoliopsida; Brassicales; Brassicaceae.